UUCAGCCAGAGAUCCCAGAACCAGCCGCUGUCCCCUGGCAAAAGAGGCCCAGUGCUGAGCCCUGGGCAAGUGUCUGCAGACAUCUCCUCCUCCCCUAUAAGUUUCCCUUACCAACAGAAAUCAUUUCCCCUUGCCACCAAAACUAGGUUGCAUCCAAAAGUUUCUCACAAGCUUUAAAGAGAAAAACGAAAAAUUGACAACUGUUACACAGAAGAGCUCACAAAUCCGCAGCAGCACCAGGGGGUGAAGAAGCAGCGACAGACCCAGGUAAGACCCCAGAGAAGUGAAGAUGUCUGGGGCCUCCCAGGCCUAUCACUUAGGGGUUCAAAUCUCUUUCAGGUGCUCCAUGUUUGCAGGGCGCUUGUGGUUGGGUACAGUCUGAUGAGUGUGGAGGAUGCUUGGUAGUUUUGGGUUCUGAUUUGUUUCCAAGAAAAAGGAAAUUGAGAAAGGAGUAAUGGUGGGGUGGGGUAAACCAAAAGAAAAGAAAGAAUGAGCAACAGAGACAUCCUGGAAGGGCUUACUGGGUGCUCAGUGUAUGUGGCUUUGACUGUGCUCCCAGGCCUUUGAGCCCUGGGCAGGAUGGCUGACACUCCCUGAAACACUGCUUCUUGUCCAGCCUGUGUCGAAGUCACCGCACACCUUCCCUGGGUGAACUUUAAGGGAGCCUUUUAGAAAAAGAGACUGGUAGAUCUGGGUGUAUGGGACAUCUGGCUUCUCUCAGCACACUCAUCCACUAUCUUUGAUUUUAGAAGUGCCAAUCUUUUAACUCUCAGGUAGAAGAGUAGAGGGAGGAAGUGAGAAAGAUACAUGCAUUUUAUUCACUUUCCCUUUUCCCAGCCAGUCUGUGCCAUGGUAUUGAGAGGGGCUUUAAAGUAUCCUGAGAAGUUUCUGAUACUAUCAAAAUGGGCCAAACACUUCUUAGACUUUGGUACUUACCUCUCCCUAAACUCUCUUUCUUCUCUCUCUCCCACACUGAAAGGUAAAUGACAGGCCAAUUGCAUUCACCUCAAAAUCUGGUUUGAGGAACUAGAAAGAAGUGAAAGCCUCCUGCAUCAACAGGACUAUUUGAUAUUUCAGAAUUACUAAAGAUCUCCUCCCCAGAUCGUUUAUUCCCUGCCAUCUUGGGGGGGGGGGGAGUUUCUUUUCUGACAGAUAGUUUGUUGAUUUCAAGAAGGUAUGUCGGUACUUCAGGAGACUGAAAUUUUCAAAACCUAGUUGUAUAUUUAAAAAAUUAAACAAAUUACCCAGUUGGAGCCUUUCACUGACCUUCACAGACGACUUGACAUCUCAAGUAUCUAUCAAUAUUGAUUUUCUUUUAACCUUCUCCCUUCUAAAGAAACUCAGUGACAGGUUGCAAAUCCUGGGCAGUUUAGGGAAAGGUUUCUUGGAGCUUAACAAAGCUGUCAUUUUCAAUACACCCGAUGACUUUUUUUUUUUUUUUAGCUCUUGCAUGUGAUUUGAGGGGAGGCUCAGCAACCACACACCCUGGCUGCAUCGCCAAUAUCAAUAUUUUAAAACUAAAUACAAAAGAGACAGAUGACCUCCUGACCCCAGGAAACAGGCCUGCAAGACUGCAAGUAUCCACCACACCAUGCCCAGGGACCUUUCCUUCUUCCAAAUGAACCACAAAAAUCAUACAUGUGUAGCCCGGAAAACACAAUUUUAUGUCCACAAGCAGGAACACCAAAAAUCCACUCAAAAACACAUAUAUAAACAACCAACAAGUACUGAGAUUGCCUGCACUUGAUGGGGAUUGCAAAAUCAUGCCCAGCUCUCUCAGCCCUGAAACUACUACUGUCAAAUUAGGGUAGCAAUUUUUCCCUCCUAGAAAAUUCACAACUGGUUAGCUCCCCCACCCCCUUUGCCGCUUUGCCUUUCACUGAAACGAAUAAAUAACCAUGGACUUUUCUUCCCUCCUCUGGGAGCUGUUUGGUGUCCCCUGAGGACAAAACUAAAUGAGAAAAAUGACGCUGUUAAUAAUGUCGCUGCUGAAAUGCCUGUACUCGACUGUUAAAAAAAAAAAAUACCAUCCCACUAAGUGUGCUUACAUUUCGGGCACAUUUACAAGCUACGACUGAAUCUGAACAGCGACUGGGCCAGAUUCCUCUAUUAAGGUUAGCCGGUUUCCACUUCUCUACAGAGAUGGGGCCAGUUCAUCAACAGAGGUUCCCAACUUCUGAAGACAUUUGCUCCCGGAUUACAAAGUCAGCAGGUGCCUGUAACUUUUGCGUGGUUUAUUUUAAACCUUGAAAAUCACGUCAAUUUGCUUCACUCACAACACUUCAAAAGUUACGUACGCUCUCAACACAGAGUGUCUCCUCUGUGAUACUGAGAGGGUUAUAGUUAUUGUCCUUUUUCAAAAUAGCUGACUUUUAAGUAAAACUAUACUAUCAUUUGAGUUCUAUGUAUAGACUUUUUUUUUUGUUACCCAUCUACAUACACUUUUUUGACAUAGAAACAGAUCGGUUUUAAGGAGAGGUUUAAAAAGCUUUAUCCAAAAUAGCCAAGUAGUCUUUAUAGUCUGUAUUAAGAAGUAUAGAAGGUGUAUUCAAACCAACUCAAACUUUCUGCACCCCUUUCUCUAAUUCGUCCUUUGAAACCUCCAUCCUGUUUCAAAAUCAAAAUAAUGCAUAACAACAGAACUGUGUGCAUUUUAACUUUCAAAUUAAAAUUUGACAAACAAUUGUGCAAUUACAAAGAGAAAAGACAAAACAAUUUGGCCUACACAAAAUAUAUGUCCAGUAAACCUUAUCUCUGAAAUAUUUUAACAACACAGCAUGUUAACAAAUUUCAAAGCAAUAAUAUUGUCAAAUUGUGUGAUGUCACAAACUCUAAAAACAAAGUUACAGAUGCUCAUGACAUCAUAUUCACUCAUAACUAUGCUGCUGCUCAGUCUGAUCAUAUUAAAAUUAAAUAGAUGUCUACGUCUGCUCAAGAAUAAAAGGAAUUUAUUUUGGACAUCGAACAAUGAAACUGUCACCAUUUAUUGUAUGAAACACUCAGCUAAUCAAUUUCCUAUUAAAACAGCUUUCAACAAUACUCAGCUUUAAAAUUCAUCGGGGCCAGUAAAAACCUUUUCCCAGUGCACAAGAAUGCAGUCCCAACCACGACGAUAAUUACCCUUCUAAUACUUUUAUUGCCCAAGCACUUUUUCCUGUGCUCCCCAUCAGUUAGGCGAGAAUCUGCAGUAUAUUGUAUCAGUGAGUUGGAGUGCUUGACCUUUGCGCACAUAUGAUUUAAUAGGGACUUUUCAGCGCUGGAGCUUUCUCCAUCUCUCAUACCAUUAAAUGAAAACAUCAAACCUCAAAUGUAAAACUGGAAACCACAACGUUUUGUGUUUCACAACUCUUUGCAGUUUUUACUUAGGCUGCUUAAAGGUCAGCUUCUUAGCCUCCCAGUUCUCUCCCCCAUAGAGUAAAGGUACUCAAAAGUCACACUAAUUCUGAUUUUGAUUAAAUCUUGGACUCCCCAGUCAGAUACACACAUGCACUCUGCUUAUUUACACGUGCAUUCUUUUUCUAACCACACAAGCGUGCGUGUAUGGUUUGCUGGAUUUAUUCCAUUUUAGAGCUGAUUUAAAUGUCUGUUCAAGUCUGGGUUCAAAUGUUAACUUUUUCCCGCCUGUUGGAAAAUUAAAAUUACAAAAGAUGGUGCUAUAAGAUUCAUUCAAAGAAAGUUAGAGUUAAUCUUGUGUAUUUUGGCGCCUUUUCCCUGCCAGCUACUGUACUGGAGGGGGGGGAGGGGGGGGAGGGGGGGAAGGGAGGGGCGGGACUUGGAGAUCUUGUCUGUCCCGUCUCAAGUUCAAUGGCAGUUCUUCUAACCGGAGGAGAAGAUGGCCAUGUUCACAGCCCUAAUAAUAAUUCCAAUCACACCACUUCGGCAUCUUGUGUCAAAGUCGAAACUGGCUUCCCCGCCCCCUUCAACCUGAAAGCUGCCAAGUCCUCACACACUCCGCAUUCAACCACAACUUAAUGGAUGGGAUAUUGUGCAUUAAAAUGUGUCCCAGACGUACUGGCGAAGAGAGCACAAGGGAAAAGGGAGGCGCACGCGCGCGCACACACUCCCACACACACACACACACACACACACACACACACACACACACACUUAGGCAGAGGGGCAAAAAAUCCUAGAGCAAAAACAGCGGGGCUUAAAAAAAAAGUACUAGGAGCGGGAAGAAAUCCAUCAUAAUCUUUUUUAAACGGGGAGGGAGGUGAAGAAGGAGGGCUAACAAUUCGAUCCUGCCACUUCAGGGACCAGGUGGGGGAUACUAAGCUUGGGAACAAAUAUUGAUUUUAAAAACAACACACCAAUCAGAGCUAAAUAAAUACUACUACCCUCACUUAUUUUUUAAAAGUGCACUUUUAAAUGAGAAUAUGUUACAAAGCCCAUAUUCACCUUAAAGCGAAGGAAAAGGACUGCAAAAAGAAUGGGCUACGGGGUACAACUAAAGUAUCACUUACAGUAAUUUUUCCAGCAUUAGGAGGAGGAGGAGAAAGAGGAGGAAAUAAGAAAUGAAGCAGGGAAAAGGCUACAUUUUACACUAUUUGGGCUGACAAUGUUAUCCAGUGAUUCCCACCAUCAAAGUGUGACACAUUAAUACUAAAGUUACUAAAGCUAUAAUAUAUAUUAUAUACAUGUAUGUGUAAUGAUACAUAUAGUAUAUAUAUGAUAUACAAAUGAUAUAUAUAUACACUAUAUAUAUAUAUAUAUAUAUAUACACUAUAUGUAUCAUUACACACACAUACACACACACACACAAUUGCUUUGGUCUAGGCUCAACCUGUAAAGCAGAAAUGACAUUUAGAUAAAACAGUCACUUCACAACGCACAUACAGGAAAAACAAAUUGUGUCUGGAGUGGAAGGGGGUGCAAGGGACGAACAAGACGAGCAAAUAAAACCCAUCAUUUCAAAGCCACAUACCAUUGCACUGUUUUGCAUUAAAUAAAAUGGAUCUUGAGUCUGCAACAGAACCCUGGGCCGUUGACUUCACGUGUCUCAGGUACAGAUUUGUGGAUUUUCUCAAGGGUUGUUUGGGUGUCGCUUUUUGUAUUUGGUUAAAAAAAAAAAAAGGCAAUCCUGGAGUAGUCUUUUAUUUUUUAAAUUAUUGUUUCUGCAAUGCCCCAAUUCUUGGCCUUAGAAGAAAAGGCGGUAAAAGUCAAGUCUAAAAGCAAGCAGCCCCCUCAGUCUGGAUAUCCAGUUUUCCUUCCUCUCACUUGCAGAAGACUGUUUCUCGUGGUUGACUUGAACGCCGUCCAGAGAGAGAGAGCGUGUGGUGUGUGUGUGUGUGUGUGUGUGUGUGUGUGUUUGGUGGGUUUUAUUGUUGUUUUAGCAGGGCUGCUCUAGAGGUGGGGGCAGCCUCCCCUCCCCGGCUUCGGGCGCGCUCCGCAGGGGCAGCGGGCGCGGCCGCGGGGUCGCGCGCUCGCCCCUUCCCCGCCCUUGGAUUGGCCUGGCCAGCAGCGGAGCUGCCCCGGAACCGCCACCCACCCGCGCACCCUUUCCGCGCCCGGGCCGCGCUCGUCCCGCCGCCGCCUCCCAGCCUUUUUCUUUCUCCGGCUCGCUGGCCGCGCGGCCCCGCCCCGCCCCGGCCGCCCCGGCGCGCGGGAAGCGCGGCUCUUCGCUUCCGCCUGGCGGCGGGAAGGAAGCCGAAAGGAGGAGCCGGGGGCGGGCGCGCGGCGAUGCAUAUUCAUCAGGGAGCCCGCGGCGGCGGAGGCGGGAGCGGGCCCGAGUGGGUGUGGCGGCCUGCGCGGCGCGGGCGCCCCUCGCGAGUGGCGGCUCUGCUCUUUGUGCGGCCCGGGAGGGGCAGGAGCGCGGGGAGGGCGGGCGAGGAGGGCGGCGCCGCCUGUCUGCGGGGCCGCGCCGCUCCGCGCGCCUUUGUGCUCCCGGGGUCACGGGGCCUCCCCGCCGGCUUGCGGGAGGGGAGAGCGGGGCCGAGCUGCCGCGCGAGAGUCUCCACCAAAUAACAGUGAUGAUUACGGAAUCGGUGUUACUCCCCUAUUUCCCGCCACGUUGCUCGGUCAACUUCGCAAGGCCGCGUUUGUUUCCGUGUGAGAGGAGUUCUGAAAUGUUCCUCCCGGUCAAGCGUUAUCAUUACAGCAAAACCACCAGAAGGAGAGCACUCUUGACUUCUAUUUAUAUGCAUCCAUGUGAAUGUCAAUAAUCUAGGGGUGGGUGGGAGAAAUAAUCAGCACCAAAGAAAUACACAACCCUUGGGUCCCUGGGAGUAAACGCUCUUGGUGAGGUUCGGUAGACAGUUCAUGUUCAUAAACAAAGUGGUUUUGAUCAGUAUUUUUCAGGUUAAAGGUACGUAGUGUUUCUGUGUAGUUUUUAAGUAAUCCGGUUAUUUUCAUUUUAGGCAUCUGUGGUGUGGUAAAAGAAUGCUUAACGGUGAGAUUAAAUUAUUAUGUAAUCCUGAUUUAAAAUCGAAGUAUUAGAAGUAAAAAUAUAACGUUAGCCCUAAAUUUACAUGGUACUAACCCACGUGUGUUUAGAAAAGAUUUUAUUACAGAGAUUUUGACUAAUUAUGUAAUUGCACAACAGACAAUAGCUUCAAAUAUCCUCUAAAAUCCCUGUUCAAUUAUGUGAUUACCAGUGGGACCGGAAUAGCUCCCGAUGAAUUGUUCUUAUCUUUCCACUAAAUGUGAGCAUGGCAGUAUUUUAAUCCCAGUUGUGUUUACCCUCAAAGUCCAAGAGAACUUAAACAACAUUGUGCAGGUUCUUAGUUUCUACAAUACACAUUAUGAAACAAGAAAGAUAUUUUGACCUCGUUAAAAAAAACCAGAUUUUUUUUUUUAAUAUCUGCAUGUAUAUAUACAGACACACUAUAUAAAUGUUUGGCUAUUUUCAAUGAUAGUAAGUGGAAAACUAGAAAUUAUUUUGACCCAUUUGGACUUCAGGAAAUGCCAAAUAUAAAAAUAGGUUAUUGGUUUAAUGGUUCCCAAUUUCUCCUCUGAAAAAAACUAACCCAGUAUGUAUCUAAACAGCUUUGGGAAGGGAGUUGAGGUUGGGGAUACCCGUAUGUACACAUACACAUGUGCAUGUAUAUAUCUCUACAUUCAGCUAUAACUUCCCAAGGAAAAUUAAUUUUUAACAUCUUUUUCCAAGAUAGGUAAUUUUAACCCCUCGGCUAGUGUACCUAUAACUCAGUCUGCUCAGGCAGUCAAUUCAAGUGUGUAACAAACAGAUCUGUUUCCAUUCUAGCAUUUCCUAAUAGUAGUUUCAUGGUUAAGUAAGUCACGUUUAGCACGAAGUAGCCAAAUAUGAAAUAUGAAAAUUCAAUGCAGCUAAACUUUAAAAAAUCAUUGAGAGUGCAAAGGGAGUGUUUAAAUGGGCAGUGUUACCAAAUUCUAAAACUUCUGUAAGUGUGCCUUAGAAAGUCUUUUGCAAUUAUUUGAAGUCCAUAGCGGAGUUAACCAAUCCUUCCCAUCAUCUAUUUCAUGCAAGGAAGAAAUUACAUUGCAGGAAGAAUCCAAUUUUGUUUAGGAAAUAUCCGAAGAUAUGAAAUGGAGAAAGGACUAAAAAAGGGGAAAGGGAAGGAUUCCACAUGCUUCUAGUGAUGAUUUGAAUGAAUCUGAAGUUAGUGUCACCUGUCAGAGGCUUUUUGCCUAAGCGUAUUAUUUAUAUUUAGUAAUAGAAUGUACCAUUGUAUGUCAUGUUCAGUCUUUCAUAGGUUAUCUUUUUUUAUUUGCGUGUCAUUUGUUUCUUCUGACCUGUGAAGUUUACAGUACUUACUCCUCUACUCAUUACCCCUGUUUGUCAAAUAUGUACACAUAUCAUAAUUAAAUGAUAUCCAGUGCUUAUGAAAUAAGGAUACUGAUUUUCAAUCAUGUCUUAAGAGAAAUCGGACUCACUAAUUUGUAAUCACCUCAACAGUUUGUUGCUCCUAAGUCUCUUAUUUGGCUAAUGAUAAUGGUCUUCUAACCUACAAUAUUGGUUGAAUUUCCAGUUUUCGUAUUUUGCAUUACAAACAGAUCUAGAGAAGUUAGGGAGUGCUUUUUUAAAAUUAAAGUUAUCUUGGUUAAAAACCUUGCCUAGAAUGUAAUUGAGGUUGACUAUCUUUUUAUAUUCAUUUUUUUUGGAAAUUAUAACUACUCACGUUUUAAACAUAAGGACUGUCCAAUGUUACAUAGGCGUUUUGGCCUUUUGACGCUCCUAACUGAAGUGAUUCCAGUAGAAAAGCUAAUUUUUUUGUGCCUUCAGUUGCAGGCACAAUCCAUUCCUUAGAACUUACUAGAAGAUUCGCAAGCACACUGACACUUUAGAUUUUCUGGUUCUUCUUAAAGCCAAUUAACUGGUAAUUCAGUUUCUGUAUGUGUUCUUCAAAUUAAGAAUUUUUUUAAAUGUACUACAACAUCUGCAUGUGUUUAUCUUUGAGAAUAAUCACUAUAUAAUUAUUUCUAAAAGCAUGCAUUAUUACAAUGCUUUAUGUCAUAAUUGAAGUAAUUCUUCUACCCUAUCUAAACCAGUAAUUUCCAGUCAUUACCCCAAAGGUGUUUAUUUUAUCUUACUUCUCUAUUUCUCAAAUAUGUAAGAAGUGUGCUUUUAUUUCUAUUUUCUUAUUUUCAAAGACACACACUAAUUUAUUAGAUUAUUGUAGUUAGUCUAUUAUUAUGCUAGCCUUUGCGCAAAUUUAUUUUAUAUAAUAAAGACAGUGGAAUAUUUAAGACACAAUACUAAAUAAAACACACUACCUUUUAAAACAAUUGGAUAAUAUUUUUAGAAUUUAAAAACUGCAUGAGGCAUAAACCUGUGUAAACAUUCAUAUUGCAUAUUGCGUCUAGGACAUAGUUUAAAAUAUUUCUUAAUUAUUUAAAAAUAUUUAGAGAGUCUUAAAAUAGGACAUUUAUAAAGUGCCAAGUUUUGGCAUUUUGUUGCGGUUCUAUAGAUGGGAGCUGUCUUUGUACAACUUUUACUGAGGGAAGGAGAAUGCACAUCUAGUACAUUGCUGUGUGAGAGGAAAACCCAAGUAUAAACCACAACCUUUGGUAACUAUUUCUAUUUUCCGUUGGUAUUAGCGGUCUUCAGCUAUCAUCCAGUAUGCCUCUUUGUUAGAUAUUGAUCAUAAGAAAUAAACACGGCAUCUUUCCCACAAGACAUACUUGCUCAUCAUAAGGAAUUAUAUCUGUGGAAAAGACUUCAAGAGAUUUCCAGAUAAGCCCUUGCAAUAGAGUCAAAACGCCACACUGGCCAGGAGAGACACACAGGUCAUUUUCUAACCAUUGAGAGUAUGGGUACAAAAAUAAAUAUAUACACACAGUGUUCCUUCUUUCACUAACUGCAUGCUGCACCUGUGCACACAUAUAUCUGAUGACAUCUGCUAACAUAAUAAAUCUCAAGUGGUUUGUGGUGUCAUCAAAACCUGAGAUGGUGGUAUGGCUCACAGCCUCCCCAACCCCAGGCUAUGGUCUUGUUAAAUUUCACAGGCUAAACAGAGACAGACUUAGACUCAUUCUGUACAUGAACCAGGGGUUUUCAAGAGCGGGUUAAGGUGGUUUACCAAGGCAAAAAAAAAAAAAGCCUCUAGAUAUGACUCAGUGUGAAAAAUUUGCUCUCUGAUUCAAUGGUGGUAAAUCAAGGAUGACUCCCAGCUUUGAAAAAAAAAAAAAAAAACAUUUUUAUCUCAAUUGUUCUGAAUUCUCAAUUCAAAGUGUCAACCUUUCCUAGCCCACUUCUGUUCUGAAGACUUACUUUAGGAAAGAAAAGCCAUGACAAUUACAUUCUUCAUAUCUUGCUUACCCACACUUUUAUACAACUUUAGUUUCAACCAUCAAAAUGCCCAUAAAAAGAAAACAAUAAACUUGAAUGAAUUUAGGCUGUAAUGAUGAUUAAAUUGAGCAAAGGAAACACAAGUGUUUUCGCAAAAAAUGUUCAGGGUAUUUUGUGCCAUAUGUAAGGUUUCUGAAACAACAGAAUUGCUAAGGUAUUUUUUUUUAACCAUUUUCAAAAAACAGAAGCAUCUGGCAAUCCAGAAAUCAGUGAGGCAACAGGAUGCAAGAAAGCGCUAGACAGUCUACUGAUCCUUCAAUAUAGUCCUGGCAAAGGACCAUCCUGUCUUUUGCUCAGUGGGCCAUUUUCAACAAGAAAACGAAUUUCAAGUCCCCUGCAUCCACACCCCGUGGCCACUUGUCCUCGGUGUCAAAGAUUCUUCUUGGCAUAUCUAGAACAUCCUGAUAUCAUUUCAAGUUGCCCCCUACUAAAGAAGAUCAAUGAUCACAUUUUGUGCCUUUCUUCCAUGACUGAGAAAGCCUAGAUGCAGCCUAGGGGCUAGAGGAAGAAUUCUUCUAUAAACGUGCACCACGUGCUUAGUAUGGGUCUCAACCCGGGGCUGGGUGCUACCAUCCAAAGAGGAGUACAUUUUUAAGGAUGUCUGCAUUUAUGAUACAAAGGCCUUCCAUCCAUUUGUCAUAAUAUUAUCUUCUAAAUUUGUUGAGAAAAGAGUAAACUUCCUGUGGGAUAUCUUGAAAGGCUUCAGACAAACACACUAAACAACGACCUUUGGUUUUUUGCUCACAUAACAGGUAGUUGAUGUGGGUUUGUAGAAUGAAAACAGUGUUGAUGGAAACCAAAGAAAAAUGUAAUUAGGGACGAUAAGUCAGGUGCCCUUCCCACCCCACCCACCCACUAAAAACAAAACAACCCCCCCCCCUGUAUAAUGUAUUCAGAAGCCAGACUAACAAAGUCAGGAAACUUUUGAUAUCACUAUUCUUCAUGAUAUGGGAAGUAUUUUUAUAACCAACAGGGGAAAGAAAGGAGGAACUAUGUUAGGUGGGAGAAUUCAGGCACAUAGGGUUUACCUAUGUGCAAUUAACACCACCCUCUUUUAGCAACUUACUGUUUAGCGAUGGUUAACAAUCAAAUACACAGGCAGGGUAGAAAUACAAGUUUCAAGAACAUACUUAAUAUCACUGCCUCUCUCUUUUUCUCUUCAUGUCUGGCCCCAUUCUGAGCUGCCCUCAAUAUUUCUUUGACCAUUAUCUUUUUAAUUUUUUGUGUGGCUAUGCGAACAGAGUAGAGACACUUUAUUUUUUUUUUAAUUUUUUAAAGAGUACACUUUAAGUGAACAAGGAACAAAAUACAAAUGACAUCCACCCACAGUCCCAUCGCCUAAAAAACCUGUUUCAUUUGCGCAUAUUCCAACCCAGCAUUUGCCUCUGUGCUCAUAUACUACUUGCACAGUCAUAAGGUUUUAAGGUAGAUAGAAUUUUAUAAUUCUUCCACUUAACCUUCCAUUGAUAUCAUUGAUAUUAGUGAAAGGGUGCAAAGUUGUAAAAUGCUAAAACUAGGAGAGACUUUGGGGAUUUUUAGACAAGAGACAAAGAAACAAAACUGACAGCAUCCUGUGGUUUGCCCUCUGAUCUUUUCAACACUGGGAUUCAUUUAAAAGGUUGGGGCAGAGUCUCUGCCCCCUUUAAGAUGGGGCUCAGUCUCCUGGGUUCCUUGUUUCAUUCCACCGGCCCUCUUUCCUCUUGUAGCUUCACCGGCUUGCCUCUUAUACCCCUGGCUUCGCAAGCCUUGAUCUAAACCGAAUGCUCUUCUUACAGAUGAGAAAAUCAAAAUGAGGUUCGGAGAGAUAAAGGGGCUUGGUGAAGGCUACUAAGCUAAUCAGCAGCCAUGCUGGCAUUGUAGAAGAGGCCCCUGAACUCUAAACAAGGCUCUUUUAUUAAUGUUUAUUUCAGAGCAUGUGGGCCAGCAGGGUUCUGAGCAUCAGCAGGAUAACCUCACCGGAACUACUGUGACCACAAGCGCCUUUAUAGACUUUAGAGAAAAGUCCCAGGUUAGCCACUCGCCACCUUUUAUGCUCCAGGUCACAAUUACCAUCUGAUGUCCACAAGCCUGAACCCCCAUAAAUCUUGGCCGUACUCACAGGGUUCUUUUUCUCGUUGAAAAGAAAAUAUCAGAAUGCAAGUGAGGGAAGCUGAUCACUUUAUAGAGAUAAAGUCAAAUCUGCUCUCAUUGAUAACGUAAGAUUAAAAAGUAAAAUACCUCAUAGAUAUGUCUAUCAGACAUAUCUCACAAAGGUGUGAUGUUGUACCAAUACCCUAGUAGACAACCACUCUUCUAGAAAAUAUAAAACCCCCGUAUCUGUACAGAGACUGUAUUUUCUGAAUGUUAAAUCAGGACACGAGGUAUAACUAAGAACUUUUUUUUUUUUUUUAAUGAAUUUAAGGUUUGGGCAAGUUUUACAAAAGUUUUUAAAAAUGAAUCAUUGUUAGCUAUGGUUUAAUGAGUGGGCUUUGUGGGAAAUAAUAAAAAGGUAUACCAUGUAAGAAUUCAUGAUGUCUAUGCCCAUGAGGGCAGUUCUUAGAAAUUCACUCAGAAAUAGGAUUGGAUUACAGUGACUGCCAUGUUGUCAUUGCUGUUUGUGUCCUGUGCACUUGGCACUUGCUUGUAGUGCUUUGUUCUUCAGACCAGACAUCCACUCUCUACGUUCUUCUCGCAAAUGGACAUCAGUGCAUGCCUCCCACGUACAACGUCACAGAGUCAAACUGGUAAAUAAUUGAGAAGUUCAUACAUUAUGUACGUGUUGAGUCUAUAGUUACUUUCUUGGCAGGCACAGGAGAGGCCCAUAUCCAAUCGGGCUCAAGACUCAUUCACAGAGGUGAUCUUAUUUGACCCUUCUUUGGCCAAAGCACCCUCUUAACCGAGCAGGGUGGGCACACUACUGUCCAUUUAGGGGGCCAGACUCUGUAUGCUAGGUUUCCUUGUGGUCCAGAUAUACAGUCUUCUUCUACAGUAUUUUAAAUGGCUCCUGACACGUUGGAUCUUCUCCUUUGCUGUGACCAACAGCAGCACCUUAAUUCAGCAAGGUCUCCCCUAGGACAAUGGUUUUCCCCAACCUUAGGUUAAAAUGAGUGUCAUAACAAAUGACAAUAAUUAUUACAUACUUAGGUCUACCUAUGGCUCUGCUCUGUGCUCAGUAUGUCAUAUAUUAUCUCAGCCCUUUUAAAGAUGAGGAGCCUGAGGCUCAGAGAGGUUAAGUAGCCGUGAAAGGUCACGGUGCUCCUAAUCCGGGUCUUUCUAAUUCCAAAGCCCAUGGCCAAAGCUGACCAGUACGUUCGGCAAAGACAUAGUGCAAGGUUGUAAUCACCCAGGUGAGUGUGGCCCCUUUAUAGGAGUUGCCUUGGAAGGCUUCGAGAGUAUUCCUUAAAGCAUUUUUAUUACUCUUCUUUUGAAAUUCCCUUUAGAACUUCAGGCAACAUUCUUUGAAAUAUUAUCGAUGGGAUAGAUCUUCUUCCUUUGAAUGUGGAUUUGAGUUUUGGAUAUAGCUAUGAUUCAUUCAGCACCCUGUGGUGAUUAAAGACCUUAUCAAGCUGGGUAAACCAGUUUGGGUCACAAACAAGGCAUGACAGAAUGUAACAAGAUUAUUUGCAAUCUCCAGCAUUUCUGAAGGAAUGGAAUAGAGGAGUGGAAGGGAAGAGACUUGGAUUUAGAGGCACCACGGUUCGGGGUACAAAUCCUGACUUAAUCACCCGGGAGCUAUGUGAUUCUGGGAAAGGCAUGUAAUGAUUCUUAGCCACGGUAGCCUUACCUCCAAAAAGAGCAUACCAAUCUAGAAUACUUGCUUCAGUGUUGUUUGGGGAUCAAAAAAUACCGCACGUCAAAAUAUGUCGGAAUGUGUCUGAAAUGCAGCCUUUCUCAAGAACUAUUUCCUGAAUCGGAUUAUCAGGUUACUUGUCUCUGUCCUUGUCCUUCAAAUGUGAUGAGAGGUGGUAAACAAGACUUAAUGUGGUCUGCGACGAUGACCAGACCUCAGGACCCCUCUCAGUGCCACUGGUCCUGGCAUAGAGCAGGUAUAUUUACCAUUAAAGAUGAAAAACCAGAAGGGAAGUCCCUAGUUUCCCGAUACUAAGGGACAUGGAUUUGAAGGAGGAUGGGGUGUAGUUUGCAGUUUGCGGGAGGCAGUUUCUAUCUCAAGCUUACUCCUAGACUCUCUCUAGAACAGUAGGAAACCUGAGAGCAGCUUCAGCAAGGGCCCUUUAUGAACUGCCUGCCCUAUGGCAGGUUCUGGCUCAAGGUGGGACAUGGGAUACCGCUCCUGUCCUCAAGAACAGUAUCCAAAGGGCUGCUUUAGUGACAGUCAUGGGAUAAUGCUACUCAAAUUAUAAGAAUUGGGAACACCUCAGAACCCAUUGACACAAACAGUGUUAUUCAUCUAUUGACUGAGAUGUUGUAACUCUUCAGGCAACAAAUAAGCCUGCUAUGUCCAGGAGGUGCCCAGUGAACAAAACAAACAAUAGUCUAGCAUAGAGGAAAGAGAGACAGGGAGAAGAAAAGACUGGAAUAGCUGACAGAAAUAGAAGCCUUGUGUAGUGCUGUUCUGAAUUCAUAGGCCUGCCAGGCUUCUUUGUGAGGUCAGAAGGAUGAUUUGAGAAUUCUAGAAAAUUCGCAGAGAGGUGUUUAUCAAAAGAUGGAAAAGAGGAGUGCCCAAGCUUUUUGCAACAUACAGUAAAUCAGGGAUAGCUAUCUAUUGAAAAUAGAGGAUGGGGGGGGGGCGGCCUCAGUGGCUCAGUUGGCUAAGCGUCCAACUCUUGGUUUCAGCUCAGGUCAUGAUCUUGUGGUUUGUGGGUUCAAGCUCUGCAUCAGGCUUCCUGAUAACCACAGGGCUUGCUUGGAAUUUUCUCUCUCCCUCUCUGUCUUUGGUCCUCCCCUGCUUGUAUGUGUGAGUGCAUGUUCUCUCUCUCUCUCUCUCUCUCUCUCUCUCUCUCUCUCUCUCUCUCUCAAAAAUAAAUGAAUAAACUUAAAAAAAAAAACGAAAAUAGGGGAAGGGAGCAGCCUCUGAGGAACUCUGUAGAGCUUUGGUCAACUGAUCUAGAGCUCUUCUACUCUAUCUUCUGCAGCGCCCUAAAGUACAGGUACAAUAUUGUUUCCAUUUUACAGAUGAGAAAACUAGAGUACAGGGAACUAAAUAACUUACCCAAGGUCAAUAGCUCCCAAGUGUCAGCAGCAGGAUUUGAAACUAGGUAGUGUGGCUCCAGACUCUUGGCUCUUAACCACCUUCAUGCAAACUUUCUCUUCUCCUCUGCAUGCCCAUCCCCAAUAAAGUAGCUUGGCCCAACCGUGAAAUCUCUCCUCCUUCCUGUAGGGUUCAUUCUAGGCCCCACAUCUCCCUAUCAGGGAGCCAUAAGUGUGGGCGACCUUAGCACAAGACUUAGUCACUAAGGAGAAAGGAAGUACUUCCGAAACCUUGGCCUGAUUCUUUAGAUCCGCCAAAGGUGAGAUCCAGUGACUACCCCUACCUCUCUUCCUGUGCUUUAAAAAAAAAAGAAAAUCAAAAAAUUAUUGUCCAAUCGUACAAUGGAACAUUAUAUAGCAACAAAAAGAACACACUUCUCCAUAGCAUGCGUGUAGAAAACUGCACAUCUUAAGUGUAUAGCUAAACAAUUUUCCCAUGUCACCACCAUCCGCGUUUAGAAAUGGAAAAUUACUGGCACUCCAGAAAUUCAGAAGCUACCCCAUCGUCCUUCCCAAAGGUAAUCACUGUCCCGAUUUCUAACAAUACAAAGUUAUAUUGUUUGUUUUGAACUUUAUAUAAAGGGAAACAUAUGAUAUUUGCCUUUUUAUGUCUGAAGUACUUUGUUCAACAUUUCAUGCAAUAUUCCUUCUUGCAGUUGCAGAUGACAAAGUUCUUUUUUUCCCACAUUGCAAUAUGGAUUCUAUUGUAUGAACACAACACAACUUAUCUACUCUAUACUUGACAGUCACUGGGUUGUUUCCACUUUGAAGCCAAUACAAAUAAUGGAAAAAUGAGCGGUCUCCUACGUGUGGUCCAGCAUCCAUAUGUAUGCAUUCUCUUGGGCAUAAACCUAGGAGUAGAAUUUUUGGGUUUUUAAGUAGCCUAUGAGAAAUUUUAGUAGAUAAUGACAAAUAGAUUUCUAAAGUGAUUGUAUGAGUGUGUAUGGGAGCAUAUGAGAGUUCUCGUUGUUUUACACUUUCAUCAACACUGUUUGGUCUUUUUCUAUUCUGGAGUAUAAUGAUAUCUCAAUUUGGUUUUAAUUUGCAAUCCCAUUUGACCGAUGAGGUUAGCUGCUUUUCAUCUGUUUAUUGGCCAUUUGGAUAGCCUCUUGUGAAAUGCUUGUUCAAAUAUUUUGCCCAUUUUUAGUUUGGCUUUCCUGGUUUUGGUUUUGUUGUGUUUUGUUUUUCUUCAUUGAUUUGUAGGUGCUCUUUAUAUAUUUGGGACAUGAGACCUUUGUCAGUUCUAUCUGGUGCUGAUUUCUCUCCCACUUUGCAGCUUGCAAUUUCACUCAUUUGAUGUCGCAAUGUCUUUGUGAGCUUUAAAAGCACAUUUUUAAGAGAAUGAUUGCCACACAAUACACUGUACAUAUUUAAGGUGUAUGAUUUGAUAAGUUUUAAAAUACAUGUACAUUAAUGAAACUAUCACCACAGUCAAGAUAAGAAAUAAUUCAGUCGCCUCCGGGAGGUUUUCUGUGCCUCUUGGCAAUCCCUCCCAACAGAUCUGCUUUCUCUCAUUAAAACUUGGUUUGCAUAGUUUAGAAUUUUAUGUAAAUGGAAUCACACAACAGGUACUCUCUUUUGUCUGGCUUCUUUCAUUCAGCAUAUUUUGACAUUUAUUCAUGUCCUUACUUGUAUCAAUAGUUCAUGUAUUUUUACUACCGAGUAAUAUUUCAUCGUGCGGUAUACCGUAAUUUAUUCAUCACCUGCUGAUGAGCAAUUGGACUGUUUACAAUUUGGGGCUAUUACAAAUAAAGCUGAUGUGAACAUUUCAUAUACAGGACUCGACAUAGACAUAAGCUUUCAAUUCUCUCAGGUAAAUACCUAAGAAUGACAUUUCUGGGCAUAUGGUAGGUAUCUCUUUAAGGUUUAACUUCUUAAGGAGCUGUCAAACGGUUACCCAGAGUGACUAUCAUCUCACAAUUCCAUCAGCAGUGUAUGAGAAUUCGAGUUCCUCCAAAUCCUCACCAACUUAAUAGGAUCAAGUCAUUUAAUUUUAGCCGUUCUAAUAGCUAUGUAGUAUGUGCCAUUAUCAUUUUAAUAUGUUUCCCUAAUACUUGUUUCCUUCAUGGCUUAUGGUGUUAAGCAUCUUUUUACAUGUGUGUUUAACAUUCUUGUAUCUGCUUAGGUAAAGCAUCUAGAUGUUCAGAUCUUUUGUUCGUUUUAAAAACUGAGGUGUUUGCAUUCUUACUGUUCCGUUAUUAUAGUUGGGGUUUUUGUUUUGUUUUGUUUUGUUUUGUUUUGCUUUGCUUUGCUUUGGUAUAGUGUGGAAACAAGUCCUUUCUCAGACAUUCGACUCACAAUAUUUUCUCCCAGACUGUGACUUUUCUUUUCAGUCUCUUGACCACAUCUUUUGAAGAGUAGAAUUUUUAAAUUUAGUUAAGUCAAAAUUAAGGAUCGUGCUUUUGGUUUUAUAUCUAAGACAUUUUGCCUAAUCCGACAGCACAAAGAUUUGUCCCCUUAUUUCUUUUGGAAUUUUUCUAAUUUUAUGCUUUCCAUUGAGGUCUAUAAUCUAUUUUGAGAUAAAUUUCAUAUAUCAAGUGCAAGGUAUAGAUUGAAAUUCAUUGUUUUCAUAUGGAUAUCCAAUUGUUCUGAUACCAUUUAUUGAAAAGACUUUUUUUUUUCUCCACUGAAUUGCCUUUAUACCUUUGCGGAAAGUCAUUUGUCCAUAUAUGUGUGGGUCUAUUCUAUUUCUUUGAUUGGUUUGCCUAUCUGGAGGCCAAUAACACACUAUCUUAGUUACUAUAACAUAAUAAUGUUUGAAUCAAGUAGUAUUAGCUCUCUGAAUUUGUUCUUUUAAAUAUUGUCUUUUAAUGAACUCUUCUGUUGUAUUGUUCUCUGGGCAAACUCUUCCGGUGCUUGGUUUGUUCUUUAACAAGUUUUCUCUAAGAAAUCUUGGAUCUACUCAGACACUUUUCCAGCUGGGAUAUCUGUACAUUUUAAGUCCAUCGUUCCUUUGGGCUUAAAGUUUAUUUUUAUUCAAAGAUCUUUUAUUAAAAUGCAUGUACCCCAAAGAGAGUGGGGUUGUGGUGGUAUUACUCCAAAAGUCAUCAGCUAUUAUGGUAACCGACAGCCAACUGACAAUCUGACUGUUUUGGAAAAAGACUCUACAGCCCGGCAGACCUCUUGGGGCUGGGGAAGACCAGGUGGAAGGUGGGAGAGAAAGGAGCUUCAGGUUUAUAGUAAUUCCUGUAAGUUACCAGGUAUCGUCCUGGCUGUUUUGCAUUUAGCGUCUUAUUUUACCCAAGAUCAUUGUAAUUUCCCUUCUCAGAAUACGCUGUAGAUCAGGGUCCUUUUCUAUAAAGGACUAAAUGUUUUAGGUGGGGCCAGCUUGACAUGGGGGUGAAUCUGUGCAUUCACACAGCAUGUAAAAUCAUUCAGAUUUUUGGCUUUGCGGGCCAUACAGGUAGUCUCUGAUGCCUCUACCCAACUCUUUCCGUGUUACACAAAAACAGCCAUCGAUGAUAUUUAAACACUGAGCCCGGCUGUGCUUCAAUAAACCUUUAUUUAUGGACACUGAAAUUUGAAUUUAAUAUUAUUUUUACAUAUCAUAAGAUAUCUGUCCUCUUGUUUUUUUUUUUUUUCUCAUUUAGAAACAUUGAAACCGUCCUCAGGUCCCAAGUCAUACACAAACAAGCAGUGAGUUCUAUCUGGCCCGUGGGUGUUAGGUCCCUUAGCCCUUCCCUAGAGAAACUCCACACAUGUGCAUCAAGUGACAUGCACAGGAAGUUCACAUCAAAAUUGCCCUUGAAUGCUCCAAACUAGAAACAACUGAAAGUCCCUGCAAAGGUAGAAUGGCUAAAUAUAUCGUAGUUUAUUUAUAUAUAACAUAUGGUUGAAAGAAAGAAGCAGGUCUUAAAAGAAUACAUACAGUAUGAUUUUAUUUAUAUAAAGUUCAAAAACAGACCUGCAUAAGUGCUAAAACUAAAAUAUAAAAAAAAUAAUAAUAAAGCAAGGAAAUGAUCACAGGAAAAAUCAGGAUGACGGUUACCUCUCUGGAGGGGAAGGUGAUGGGGAGGGGACUUCUGAGGCCUUAGCAAUGUUGCGUUUCUUGACCUGGGUCAUGUUUGCAUUGGUGUUUGCUUUAUAUUUAUUCUUUGAACUACACCUUUUAUGUGUCUACUCUGAAAUGUAUAUCUCAUCAUUUUUAAAUUUUCAGUUCCUAAUUCCAACCGGGAGUUGGCAUUUGGAGCCCCAUUUCAUAGUGAGGUUGGGGGAGGGGGGAAUCGCAUGCCCAGGCCACAUGUUUCCAACUUCCUAAAGCUCCUUUGAUAUAAUUUUGAAGACCUUUGGCAUCCAUCUGGCCCUGGGCUUCACAUUUGCCAAGAAGAGUCUUGGCUUUUAUAGCAUUCAAAUGUUUUUCUUCUCAGUUUACUUUUGUCUCAGAUAAUAAUGCUCUCUGCCAAAUUCCCUCAAGGUCAAAUCCACAUUAUUAUGGGUUCCAUUGUCUUGAAGCCUUUCUUGUUUGCAAAUUCCAUUUUUCCUAAUUUCAAAAUAUAAUUAUAAAUAAUUCAAUCACAUUGAAUUGGGCAGUGGAUGUGUAUACUGGCUACUUUCCCUUUAUCCCUCUGCUCCUCAGUGUUUAUUCUCUUCUUAAUAUUUCUACCUUCUGGCUGUCUAUGUGUGGCUGUAUGUUGUCAUUAACCAGGCAGGGCUGAAAUGAAAGAAAAGAAAAUAUGUAUCCAUGGUUGGAAAGGACAUGAGUUUAGGAGUAAACCUACGGCAGUUUGAACCUCUACUCAAUCUAUUGGCUGUGUGCUCACAGCCAGUGAUCUAGCCUCUCUGGGUCUUUUCUUUCACUAAUGGAACUAUGAGAGAGAGUCAUUGCAAGAAUUAGAUAUGUAAAGGUCAAGCAAGAAAACUUGUGAAAUGGACACAGUUCAACACCUUGCACUACAGCCACUUUAUGACUUGUGAUAGGGUGCAAUAAAUUUCAGUUCCCUUCCUUCCUUCCUUCCUUCCUUCCUUCCUUCCUUCCUUCCUUCCCUUCUUCCUUUUUCCAUUUUGCAAGAUUUUUCUGUCUGCCCUUGCCAACCAUGUUAAUCCAGCAAUUGCCUAAUGAGAGAAAAGGUUGGUAGUGAGUGGGUUGGGGACAGGAAAAAAAACAAAGGUGGAAAGAAACAUUCUACUCUAGAGCAUAGGAAAAGAGCUCGCAUUAUAUCUCUAUUUUAUUUGCCCAUCGCUCUUCAUACCCCUCAUCUGUCCGUGAAGUCAUGGGUCUCUAGACCCCUAGAAAUCCAAGAGCCUGGUAAAGCUGUUGUCAGAAUCUUUAUAGAGCCUAAGAGAACUCUACCCUGAUUUCAGGAAUAAAAAUUGCCUUCAAAUAGAUCACUUAGAACCUGUCUGGCAUAUUGUCUGGGCUGAGUAAGUGUUGGGUAUUAUUACUGCGAUUGUUGGUGUUACGAUUAUUAUUGCUCUUCAGGACAGCAUCUCAGUAUGCGCGACAGGAGUUGUGAGGCCAUCAGCUGCCUCGUUUGCCACACGCACACCCAAGUUACGACUGUUGUUUCUUUCAGCAUUUCUCAGUCUCCCCUGUCAUUUCCCUCCCCGAAACAUUUCAUUCUGCCUUUUCCAGAACAAACAUCAUUAUAAUCACUUCUUGUUCACAUCUCUGCUAUCCCCAUGGCUCUUGCUGCUCUCACUGGUAGUAGCAACACCUCUGAAUUUACUACCAUCUGCAAAUAUCAUUAGCUAUUGUUUAUUCCCUCUCCCACACUAUUAAUGAAGAUGUUAAUUAAGACCAGAACUAACACUGACCCCAGCAGCAAUCCACUAGACAUUUAUCCAACUGGAUAAACUUCUGUUAGUCAUUACCCACCGCUCAUAGACAUUACCACUCCUCCAUUCCCUUCAUCUGCUAAUUUGUAAGAGACCAGGGGAGAGAAUUAAGGGAGCCCAGUAUUAUUUAAAAAUUAACACUCUGAUACUUAGGGUUUUUGGAAAGGGAUUUGGUGGAACAUCAGAAGGAUGGUUGUCAGUAGUAUAUGCAUGAGUGAAGUGAGCCAGCAUCCCAAAGAAUUUGGUAAUUGCCUGGCUCAGCUUAUGGGUUUCUGAGAUUUCGUUUCAGCCACCUCCAUGUAAAGAUGAUCAGACUAAGGCCCAAAGACUUCUCCAAGAUCACUUCCCUCGUUAGUAAUAGAACCCACAUUGGAACUUGGGGCUCUCACUUCCAGUCCCACACUCCGGGUAGAAGCGAAGUUGAUCUCACUUCACAGACGGUCUGCUCAGACACCUGUGCAUCAGCAUUUGGCCACUAAAUCCUAAACUUGUGGAGUGGAACACAGUGGCCGUCAACUUCAUCCAUUUGGCUUCAGCAAACCACGUCGGGAAGGAGUUCUUUACGUAUUUUGUUCAAGGCAAGAGCAUUAUUCACCAUGAUGCUCUGUUCUCUCAACCUAUAAAUUAGUAGUUCUCGACCCUGGCUAAACAUUAGAAUCACCCAGGGCAGCUUUUAAAAAAUACCAAUGCCCACACCACAUCCCUAGAAAUUCAGAUUUAAUUGGAUUGAGGAGAGACCCAGGCACUGGUAAAUUUUUUUUUUAAGCUCCCCAGGUGAUAGUUGAGAGCCACCCCAGAGGAUAAAGUGUUUCUCCAAAGAGUCCUAAGUUGGGAGGCUGCUUGUUCUAUAGAAUAGGGUCAGUAUGGACCUGCUGUACCUUAGCGAAUGGGAACAAACCUUUCUCUUAAACAGGAAACUGACUGCUCUUCGAACGUUUUCCUUGCGAAGAAUGCAAAUUGCAUUACCAACUCAGAAUGACGUAAUUUGGAAUCUCGUAACCCGGUCGUGGUCAUUUACACCUGGCAAUUUUUCCAGACUUUAACUUUGUAGGCCGUACUGCCUACCUAAAAGCUCUCAGGCAGUCCCAAAGUGAGCUACUGGUUUAGUGUGAAAGCUGGCCCACUGGAAGCAAAGUCGAGCAAAGGACAGAGGACUUACCAGCGUUUGAAGGGUUUGCUCUUUAGACAUUAAUACCCGUUGUACCUGAUGCAGCAACAAAUGCCUUCCUGCCGCUGGUAUGGCAAUGGAGCCUUGGUGGAUGAAGAAUGUAGGUCAAAGACAAAACGAGGAAACAUCAUCUCAGGCUUCUGCCUGGACAAGAGCCCGAGAAGAAUAAAAGACAAGACUUUGGAAGACCUCAGAGGCUGCUAGUCUUCUGGCGUCUCACUUUGUGGCCUCUUCCAUUAUAGGGGAACAUCUCUACGUGACGAAUUGCCAGCAACACUCACACCUAUCAGAAUUGGGAGAUUCGCGGUGCUCAUGUUCCCUUGUGCAGGUUGUUCACUGCCCAAAGGUGCCUGGGACACGGGGGCUGAAAUGUGCAGUGAGAAGCAGUGCUUCCAGGAAGGACAAGAUGACUCUAUUUGUAGUUUACAGAAAGAUGCUGCCCGGAAAGUGGGAUCCCCGAAGAGGGAUAAAGACACAACAGUUUUCCACGUCCUUGUCAUAAGAAGCAGAGGCCUCGUGAUGAAAACAGGGAAGAAGAGAGAAGAGCAAAGAGAUGACCGAAAGUGUCAGGGUUCCCAGGGAUCGUCCACCCUCCCUGGUGCUCCAAUGCUCCAAUAUCAGUGCCUCUCGAUGGUCGUUAAGGCUGGGCUAAAACAGGAAAAUGUACAGGAAGCUGGUGAAAUGUGGAAAUGGAAUAUCUGUAGAAGAGACAAUAAGACCCAAGGAAAAAGGAAGUCUAAGGUGGGAACAUUUUUUUAUGUGCUCAUUCUCUCCUCAACUGAAGUUGGGGCCCCAGCCAUGGCUCACGGGCUUGCCCACUGCUGUGACAACCUGGUUCAGCUUCUGGGAAAGAGAAAGAAAGAGCAGGGAUCCCAGCAACAGUCACUGGUGGAGGGCCAGGACGGGCGCCUCCACCAGUGAAUGCUUCCAGAUGCACUGAAGUGUUGUCCCAAAACACGGCUCAAGAAACAGCUUAGGUAGAGAGUGACUCCUCUGGAGGAAAAAAAAAAAAAAAAAAUCAGUCAUUUUGACAAGGUCAAAAUACCAAGAAAACAGCAUUCCCAAUUGAGAAGUUACGGGUCAGGACCACACUCCAUUAGAAAAUGCUCUUUUCUGCUUCUCCCUCAGACAUUUUGGCUCUGACAUGAUUUUUAAUAAGUCCUCCCGAAUAGCAACUCUCUGGGCACAUGGUCUCAACUAAAAACAUGUAAGUGGUUGGGUUUGGGGUAAGGGUUCUCUCCCCUUACCCAUGACAAAAAGAAAGAGGAGGGGGUCAAAUAAUGGAGCUAAAUAAUCCCAUCUGAGAACAAAUGGUCCCAGGUGCUACUUGGGCACAGAGUUAGUGGGUUGUAGUGUUGUCUGCACUGUUCAGAGGGACUCAGAGGGAAGGGAAGUUCCCCUCAGGAUCUGAAAAUUGGGGCAAUUUGGAUGAUUUCCUCUUCGCUUGUACCUUGGAAAGGUAACCAGGGAGGAAGCCAGUGGAGUGAGAAGGAAGGAGGGAAGGAAGGAAGGAAGGAAGGAAGGAAGGAAGGAAGGAAGGAAGGAAGGAAGGAAGAGAAAGAAAGAAAGAAAGAAAGAAAGAAAGAAAGAAAGAAAGAAAGAAAGAAAGAAAGGGAAAGGAAGGAAGGAAGGAAGGAAAGAAGAAAAAGAAAGAGAAAGAAAGAAAGAAAGAAAGAAAGAAAGAAAGAAAGAGGAAGGAAGGAAGGAAGGAAGGAAAAGAAAGGAAGAAAGAAAGAAAGAAAGAAAGAAAGAAAGAAAGAAAGAAAAAAGAAGAAAGAAAGAGAAAGAAAGAAAGAGAGGAAGGAAGGAAGGAAGGAAGCAAGAGAAAGAAAAGAAAGAAAAAGAAAGAAGAAAGAAAUGAGGGAGGGAGGGAGGGAGGGAGGGAGGAAAUGAGGGAGAAAAGGUCUCAUUUACUGAGCACAGACAGCUUGCCCAGACGUCGCUUGGCUUUUCCAUAUAUGUGAUUCCACGUAAUCUCUAGAACAGCACUGUGGGGUAGGUAUAGCUGCUUAGUUAAUAAGUGGCCAGGUUGUAUCCCAUCCAGGUGUACCUGACUUCAAACUCCUUCCCUUUUCCUUUUAACGACUAGUGUCAGCCAACUAGACACACAUACAUGUACACCUGUGUUUAUGCAUGUGCACACGUGUGUUUUAUUCCUUAAGUGCUUCUUAAUCUUGCCCUAUCACCAAGCAACCAAACAAUGAGAGUAAAUUUCCUAUGUCUGUUUUUUCUGCUCUUCUCAGACUCUAAAUGGUUUUCCUCUCUUCAGAGUUACCACUAAUGUCGUUUUCAUCUGUCGUUGCCUGUAUCUUAUUGAAAAAAGGAGAAGAGGAGGGUGGGGCCGAGGGAGAUCAUUUGUCCUGGCUCUUUGGCUUAUUACUGGGCAUAGACUACUUUUGGGGGGUGUGGGUGGGGGAGGGGGGAUGCCCCCAUUUCGCCAACCCCAUACCACGCAGCUGUGGGAAUUCUCUCGUCUGCUUUAGAUAACAGUUCAGCCCUGUUUUGCCCACAACUUCUUGAGAGUUGAAGUCUCCUCCUUCACGGAGAAGACAACCAUCCUUGGAGAAGCUUCUUUUCAAGCAGCCAUUGUACAGUCCUCUGAAGGAGGGAUUGCAGACCUCGCCCCCAUGGCCAGGGGCCUCUACCUUUUUGGUUUUUCCCCCUGGGGAGAUGGGGAGGGGCUGGAGGUGGGAAUGUGUCUGAUGAGGCUGCAGCCUGCCUCCCGUGGGUCACCUGCUGCCCAGGGGAGGAGAGCCAUGGCCAGGUUUUCCCUGUGUCUCCCUGGAGCAGACACAGAUGCUUCAGGAGGAGAGACGCUAUCACAAAAGGGUUUAUCAGGAAGAAAAAAAAAAAAAAAACAUGUGAAAGGGGAUGGGGUGUUGGCAAGCAGGCUUGCUCCAAGCUCAGCCUCUGCUGUCUGUAGUCUCCAUUUAUUGAUUCUUUUCUUUCUCCACUCCCCACUUUCCAAGGGUUCAUAUUCACUCCACAGAGAAAAGCAAUCUCCAGGCAAAAAUGGUUACAGUAUUUUAUUAAAGUUUGGUAGAGAGGAGGGAAGAGGAAGGAAAAGGCUGGACUAGGGGGCACGGGGUGGGGGUGAGGGGGGUGAUAAUGUCUGCCUGAGAGCGAGGAAGAGAGAGGGAGAGAAAGGGAAGGCAGGCAUGCAUGAGAGUCUCAAGCAGCAGCCAAGAAGCAGAGAAAGGGCUGCUGGGGACAAGGAGGGGGGUGGUGUGCCAAAAGCCUUAUAGAAAAAGAGCAAAGAUCCGAACAGGAGGAAUGGUUAAAAACCGAAGUGCAAAUGGACCUUGGGAUCCUCCCUGGGAAGAGGGCUACAAGCAAAAUACAAGGCAGGAUGCCGGGACACCUCAGAGUAACACAAGUCCUGAGGAGGCAGUUUGGAGAGGCCACAGAAAUGGCCUAGCAAAUAAAGAAACAAAUGCCAGAGAAUGCUAAUAUGCUGAGGGCCUUUAAAGAGAGGGAGAGAAAGAGAGAGAGAGAGAAUGGAGGUCUGAGACACAGAGCGACAUCAAGUGAAAGCCGAAGCAGAGCAGAGACAGGGACAAAACACACUCACAUAGCCAGACCCCAAGAGAGGGACACGGAGAGAGUCACACACAGAGAAAGACAGACAGGGCUGGGGGUGGGGGGGGGGCGAUGGGAGUGGGGCGAGAGGGAAAGUCUCCAGCCAAAUGCGGGAGAUUUGGCAGGUGGACAGCAGCAGCCGGCCAGGCAGUCACUGCACUUGCUGCGUCUAGUCUAUUGUUGUCUGGAGGGGGGGAGAGGGAGUUGUUUGUUUGUUUUGUUGUUUGGCCUCUUUGUCUCUUUUGUUCCAAGCAGUUAGUUUGCUCCUUUCCCAGACACUGGGCUGAUGGAAGAGCUUUAUGGAUUUUUCUUAAAGGGACAGGAUUAGCUAGUUUACCAGUGUAGCAUUAGCGAUGCCUCAGUCCUAACCAGUUUCUACCUAACAGGCUAUAUAUAUAUAUAUCUGUACUAUUUUAAAAGAUCAGAGUAAGGAUGGAGAGUUAGUAUUUUUGCUGUUUUUGUGACUGGUUAACAAGAAUAAACGGGUCAAGUUCACCCUCCCCCCCCCCCCCCCCCUCCCCAAGCGUCCUCCUCCAGGGUUGCCAACACUGCCGGGGGAAGAAGGAAGGAAGGACAAAAAGAAGAAACCCCUACAAACCAAAGUAAAUGGAAACCAUACAUAAAUAGCUCCAAACAUUGGUACAUGUUCUACCCCUCUUUUUUUAACCUAGGCAUCAAGAUGAGAAAUACAAACUCAAGGCUUUAAAUAACCACCAGAAGAAGGGCUUUGAAGGGAUAGGGGUGACUGGGCCACAAGUCCCCUGACGCUCACCAGGCAGGCACGGAAGGCUCCCCCUGGCCUCACACCCAGACCUGUUUCCUGUAGGCCCUUCCCAGGCUCCAUCCCAGAGGACAGACACUGGGCUGGGGGCUUGGGGAGCCUGUUUUGGGUCACCCCUUGGGGCUUGGCCUUCCCGAAGGAAGGGACUGUUAACACACUCAGGGUGCCCUAUGCCGGUGGUGUCGGAGGGUAGAGAGUCACUCAGCUGACCUGAGAGCCGCUGCUUAUUUGUUUGAGGAGGGGUAGAGGAAAGGGGUAUCCCGCAAGCCUCUGACUUUUUUGUUUCCGCAGAGACUCCUAGCUUCGCGUCCUUCCUAGUAAUUUAAAUCAGUUUUGGUCUAAAGCAGACAGCUUCUGAAGGAAAUGAAAUUUCAACACACUCCCAAAUUCAUCCACGUUUGAUUUUGAAUUCCAUCUCUAGGCCUCCCUCCAAAAUAAUGCCCAGUCCUUUUUCUUCAUCCUAACGACGCUUUUCCCUUGCUUGCUUUAAAGUCUAGGAUGCUGGAGAUUAAAAAUCAUUACAUACAAUCCAAGGGCUCGAGGCCCUAGGAAGGGUUCAGAGGGGGUGGAGGUGGGAGAGGGAAGUGGGUGCUCCUUUGCCAACAGGAUCUUUUAUGUUAGAAGCAAACAGAUCCGGAGUGGACGCUUCUGCCCUGGAAAGUGCGGCUGCCGCAGUUGGAGGGUGCAGGCUGGCUCUGGGGGCAAAGCGGGCUGUCACCUCCGCCCCACCCUCUGGGAGUUCGGUACUUAAGAGGUACACAAUUCUGUCAGCCGCUGGGGUUUAGGGGUGGCAGGGUGAGGAGUUAAAAAGCAAGCUGCUUACACCUACAACUUAUCCACCGCCCCCCCCCACCAUAACUUUUCUCCUCUCGGCCACCGUCCCCCUCCUUUUUUCAAAGCUGCCAUAGGUGUCCCGGCCCUUCGUCGUUGCGAAGUUUUUGCUUCUGCUCAGGUGCCAUUUGAAGGGGCCGGGGAAGUCCCGCCUUUCCAGGGGAAAGGAGGAGGGGAUGCUGGGGGGGGGGGGGGGGGCGAGGAGAUGGGACCUUGGUUCCCGGCGGGCCCAGUCGGAGAGAGGCCUGUGGGAGGUGCGGCCGGAGGGAGCGAGGCAGCACGUGGGACACGUGUUUGCCCAGGGUUUGGAAAGAGAGGAUGUUGUGGGGCUCGGGUCUCCCGAGACUCCUGGGGGAGGGGGCAUUGGUAGGCAGCUUCGAUUUGGGUGGACGUCUGACGUCCCAGGUCGCACGAGGUAACCGAAAUCCUGCUAACCUUGAGCAUAGAACUUGAUUCGGAUCUGGGCACGCAGGCGCAGCCCCGCUCAACCCGUUAGCUCCCACGGACAUCGCUUAGGGGCAGGCAUCCUCGGUGGCCAACGACCUGAGGAGCACACCCGGCACGUGGAAGGAUCAAAGCAAAGUGCUGGCCAGGACCCUGGCGGGGUCAAGUCCGAUUCCAGAACCAGUCCAGCGGGGUUCAGGAAGGGCCCUGCAACCCCAGGCCCGUGAGUCCGCCCCGCGCCAUCCGAGGGGGAUUUCGUUUCUAUUCCCCGCACGUGUCCCAGCGGCGCACCAGGAGAUCCAGUUUCGCCGGAACGUUCCCGUUGACUUGUUGGUUUGAAAGUUGAGGCCCCGGGGUGGUAAGGCUGGCCACAAAAAUUUCAAACCCCGCUAAUCCUAGACAAAAUAAAAACACAAUAGGCCACAAACCAACCAACUUGGGGCACAUUCUGUGGUGGUCUCCUGGCUGGGCACAUGGAACUGCGCAACCUGGAGGGAGUGAACCUUUCUACUUCUAAUGCCCAGUGUUGUGUGGGAAGACCUCAGGAUGGAGUUACAGCCGGGUCCCCCGUCCACCGCAUGCGCCCGUCUUCUAAAGAAGAAUGAAAACAACCCCCCAAACCGGCCGCAUCCAAAGCUCCGCGGGGUGGGGGGCAAGGGGCGCCGGAAGCUUGCCUAGAGCCCGAGCUUUGGCACGAAUUUGCCUCCCACCGAGACGCAGGGUCUCCCAGGGAGACGGAACCCAGCCGGAGAAAUCGCGGCCUGGGAGCCCCUGGCCCCCACUGGGGAGCCAACCCGCCCAGCGCGAAGAGUGCGUCCCCCGAUCCCCACGCCGGGGAACUGCAAGGCAGGAGGACGCUCAAGGCUCCAGCAGGGUGGAAUCCUAGAGACAAAAAAAAAAUCUGAAAAGAAAAAAAUAAAUAAAUUUGAACAAAACUAAACUACAAACCCGCUGGUCCCCGCCGAAAGCGAGGUGGGGGAGGAGGGGGCGGGAACGGCCGAGGCGCAGAGAGUGGGGGAUGCGAAACGAACUCCGUCCCCUGCAGAGUCGGUGCCUUCGGGGGCUCCAGCACCGCGCGCUCCCGCCGGCAAGGUUUGGACUCACGGGGGAGGGGGAGGCUGGGAGGGAGAGGAGAGAAGAAGGAUAGGUGGGGGGGGAGAAGGGAGGUGGUGGUUCUUUUUCUCCUCCAGCCAGCGCCAGCCGAGGCGAACUUGCGGUGGCGGAGCUCGAGAAAACUUUGGAAAGUUUCGGGAGCGCGGUUAGUGGUGGAGGCGCAGGGCAAAGAAGCAAUGCUGGGGUGGGCGCUGGGGAGCGGACGGGGUGCUCCUGGGAGGCCAGGUCCUGGGGUGGUUAAAGAUCCAAGCAUCCUGGGUCAGGUCCGCCCCCGGCCGCAGAGGCUUCGAGGCGCUGACUGCGGGACGUUUCCUUAAGAGAUGGACAAGACAAGACCGCGGGUUCGGCGGUCUCUGCCAGUGCGGAAAGCACUGCAGGGCGACGGCUCGGAGCAACAGCGGGAAAGGCUCGUCUGCCAAGGCGGGAUUAGAUCCUCCCGCCCAGGGGCCCCGUCCCCCAUCUUCCCCCGCCCAGCGAGGGCCGCGCGCGCCAGGGAUCUUUGGGGCGACGCGCGCCGUUUCGAGUCGCGCUUCGGCUCUCCGCGCACCACGUGCGCCCACGGCCUCAGGCGGGGAUGUUUGGGCCAGUGCCUCUGAAAGAGAGGGGGCCACGCAGCCAAGACCAGGCUUCGGCCACGUUCGGCCCGCGCACCCUUGCUGGGGGCAGGAUAAAAUGGCCCAACCCAACUUUUCCCUGCGCCCUGGGAAGGAAGCGUGGUGCGCCCGCUGGAGCGCGAGGCCGCCGCCGCCCGUUCCACACGCGGCCUGGCUUUCUGCUUUUCCUCACUGCGCACCAGGGAAAGGCAGAAUUCAAUGAUAUCAUCCAAGUGUCACGCAGUCUUUUCCUCUUUUCCUCUGGAGCCUAGUGUAUUUCGAAGGGGUAUCUCCCAAUUCUCAAAUAAAUGUCUUUCUCUCUAAAGCCUGGCUGGGUUCUGUAGUAACCAUUGAGGCGAAAAUGACCACACACACACACAAAGAAAGAAAGAAAAGAAAAAAGAAAAGGGAAGAAAAGAAAAGGAAAGAAAAGGAAAGAAAGAAAAGAAAAUUAAAGAAAAAGAAAGAAAGGAAAGGAGAGGAAAGGGGGAAAAACCCAAUCAGUUGUGAGUUUACAGCCUGAAGCGGCUUAUUUGGGCCCAUUGAACUCCAUUCCAGACCGCGCAGCUCACCCUAUUCGGGGAGAAGCUGGAGAAUGGAGACAAAACAAGGUUAUUUAAAGUGACUCCCGGAACGCGACUUCCCUUCCAAAACUCCUUAGGUGUCUGCUUCAGGGCUCCAGCUUAGCGCGGCCCGGGCAACCCAGCCUCGGAUGUUUAAACCGGGCCAACCCCCGGGUGAAACUACCUGUUGGGAGAAUGCGCAGUCUAGACUUUCGGCCCUCUUUUCUCCCGCGCAAUCCCCGCAGCGACGGGAUGGUUCUGGGUUUGGCAGGACUGGGGAGAGGACAGAAGAGCCGGGAGCAGCGGACAAACUCAGCAGCUCCUGGCUCUACCCAGCGUGCUGCGGGGGCUCUUUGGAAAGUGGAAGCAGUCCCUAGAACGCUGUGCGGGGCCCUUGGCUGCAGGGAUGCCCCCAAACUCUCACGAUUCUCGUAAUUCGGAAACCACGAAGCGGUGCGGUUCGUGCCGGCUUGGUGCAAGUCUAACUUAAACACACACACACACACACACACACACACACACACACACCACACACACACAAAGCCUCCUGGCGGCUUCCUCGGCGCGCACCCCCACCCCGCACUCCAACAGCCCACACUUUUCCCUGCACCGAAAUUCACUUUACUACUUAAAAUUCGGAAAACUCCGCCGCCGCUUGGACGCGCGGCAACCCAGAGGCUGCUUAAAGCUCUUGCACGAGUUGCUUGAGGGAGAUCACUCUGCUCUUGCGAGCACACAGAAUCUCUGUAUCUUAAAACAGCCUAACCCGACGAGGAAGCAGAGUUAGCGGUGACAAUCUGAGUAGUCUUUGCAGCCCGUUGGGGGAAUUUUCGGAGCCUGGGGGACAGCGGGCUUGUCUCGCUGGAACCGGUGGGAAGGACGGUUCCGGCCGGGCCCUGGGGCUGGAAGUCUCAUUUGGGGAGCGCACAGCCCGGGUUUGGCGCGCGCGUUUAAUUACGUUCUUUAGGGCAAACUCUCCCGCACAGCCUGCGCCGACAUUACUUCUGGGGGGAUGUGGAGGCACAGGCUGGACUAAGCCGGGAAAUCCCCCCUUCCCCAGACUCGGAAACCACUCCGCAUUUUGUCUCCGAUGCGGGUUUCUGCUCUUUGAUAGCGAACUGCACUCAAUGUGGGGAGCAGUGGGACUUGGGAGAGGCCCUACCGACGGGCCCGUUUGGGGUCCGAGGGUAGGGAAACUCUUUCUCCGUGAUUGGGGGUACGGCGGCGCUUUAUUUCUCGGGGCAUGCGCUCACAUUUUCCACGGUCGCAACGCACUCGGCUUAAAACGAAAUGGGGACAAAUAUGAGGCCACUGCAGGGAAGGAGGGGGGUAAGCCUCAUCUUGCUUAGGAUACUCGUUCUGACAGCGAAAACUGCCGGGCUGCGCCGAAGAGCGAGAAUUUAUUAAUGAGAAUUUAUUGCACAGGAACGAGAGUUGAGACUUCGAGCUAAAAGACGGCUCAGGACGCUUCCCGCGCGGCAGUCUUUUAUGAUCCUGCCGCAUUAGUCUGUUCUGCCCCUAAGUCACACCCCUAUUCCCAGUCUUAAGUGGCAUUUCCCUUCCCAGUGUGCCUCUUUCCUGUGCCCACUCGUCCGGGGCUUCGUGUUGCCCAGGACCUCUCGGCGUCUGGAAAAACUCUCGCAAACUUGUCCUUCGCCCAGUGCGUAUGCGCGGGUGGGCUCUCCCCGCGCCGCCGCGCCGCAGCCCCGGACCCUCCGGGGCCUGGGAAACCCGGUGCAUUUUCCAGCGCUCAGCCUCUGCGCUCCUGUUUUAUUUCAGUUCAAUCCCAGGGGCACGGACCCAAGGAUAAUAAACAAUGCUGCUUAUUAGAGAUACAAACGGGCGCAGAAAAGAACCACGCGGAAAAGCAAGCACAGAGACAUUUUAACAAGUGGCCAUGCAUUCAGAACUGUCUUUGAAAGUGACUUGUAAUGUACAAUGGGAGGGAGCGCCUCUCCAAAAUUACAGAAAUUCUCAGAAUGUAGGUUUGUCAAAGGAUGAUGGCCGGAGCUAUUUUUAUUUAUUUGGUUUUGCCUCUGGAAAUCAGGCGGAGUUGUUGCUACCUGCCCAAGCCUCUCUACAAGCCGCCUCCCCCUCCCUUAUCCCCCUCUUAGAUCGCUAGGCCUCACACACAAAAAAGGGAGGGGUCUUCCAGGUGUGGGCAUCCUUUGCUACCGUUAUUUCAGAUCCCUCAAGGGUUGAAAACACUGCCUCCCCUUUAGGCAGUGACAACACGGGCUUUGGGGGAAGAUGUCAUCGUAACGGGUGUGGUCAACUAAUUCAGAGAUAUGGGGGAUUUUUUUUUUUUUUGUAUAUAUAUAAACGCAGAUACCUUGUGAGUGUUGACCCUGAGAGUGGAGGCUGGUGAUUCCUCCUGAGGUGCGGGUGAAACCGAUUUCUGCCCUGCCUGAUGGCCUUGGGAAAGGGCCUCCCAUCUGCUCUGAUCGCCUCCACCCCUUCCAAUGUCAGAAAACCUUCCUGCCUGCAAAUAUUGGCACUUCGCUACUACUGACAGGCGGUGCUGCUUUAAAUAGGAAGAAGACCGCGGGGCGAAAAGAAAGUCACAACCUUCCUACCCACCAGACUACCUGCCUCCGGUCCCCAAAGGCCAAGCGCUGGCAAAAGAGACUUACAGGGAAAACCUCCGAUUUCGGAGCUGGAUGGGAAAUGAAUCAGUUGUGUGUUCCAGGAACAAAAUCUCUCUUUGAUUCUCAGGAACUGGGGGGCCCCGGAACAGGUCUCCCCUGUUUCAGUGCCCGAGCGCCUGCACUUCCUAUGACCCUGUCUCUCCACUUUUCCAUUGUUGUUGUUCAGAUAAAGGUAAAGGCUGGGGGAGCUUCAGCGGUGCUUCAGUUCAGUCCGCCUGGGCAGCAAGUUCCUCUUGACUUUAUCCAGAGUGCGGCUGUGCUUCUGGCGGUGCCAGGGGUGGGUCUGGUCUCACCACAGCUAGCCCCGCACCCCACACAGAACUCUCAGCCUCUGGACCUGCCUGGGGCUGGCUCUGGCUGGGUCUGGGGCCUCUCUUUUGAAAUGCACCCCUCUGCCAAGCAGGGGCAUCUCCUUGGAAAUGAUCAUGGGGCCAACUGCACCUGAGGAAUAGCCCAAACCUUCCCUCCCCAGCUCCUACCUAAGUUGCUGGCUUUACGUAGCGUUCAUGAAUUUUUGUUUCCUAACUUCAAUUCUGAAUGAUCUUCAGAACUAUUGAGCUGUCUACCUUAGAGGCCAGCUUCUCCUAGGAAGGGAAGGGUUUGUGCCCGAUGAGUUCAAGCUUGAGAGGCUGGCCUCUGCACAACUGUGGCUGCAUUUUAGAGGGGGCCUCAGGCAUUUUGGGUGCUGGACUUCUUCCCACCGUUUUCCGAUUCAAUUGGACGGUGCCUAGUAACUUUAUAGAGAAGGAAACUGAGGCACAGAGAAGGGACUGGGCUUACCAAGGGCAUACAGUGAACUGAGAGCAGAGUCUGCACCAGACCCCAGGUUUCCUGAUUUGAAGUCCGUUUGCCCCAGUUUUGAGGCUGGUGUAGCUAACAAGACACUACUGUUCAGGAAACAUCCACUGUGUGCCAGACCACUUAUUGUGCCAGACGCUUUACCUAGGUUGUCAUUACAGUAACCCUAAAGAGCAUUAUUAACCCCAAUAAAAAUUUGUAAAAAUUAUAAGAGUAACAUAUGCAUAAAUCAAAAUAUUUCAAAUAAUCCAAAAGGGCAUAAACUGAAAGUAAGUCUCUUCCUCUGCCCCCUCUUCCAGAAUAAUGCUGAUAUUUUUCAUUUCUUUAGUGGCUCUGUCCUUAUCUAAUAGACGUCACCGUUACCUUCUGAGUGAGGAGAGGGAGUGUCCCAAUCAGGAUAACCAGCUGUGGCUACCUGUCUCAGACCCAGCACCACCAUGACUGUCUACCUUAGGGAAGGUGAGGAGUGGGGAGAGACAGGGAGCGAGGCCACAGAUAAGAAGGCUCAAGUCAGAGUUCAUGUCACCCCUUCCUCUCCUCUCCACCUGCACCUGCUAAUGCUACAGUUUUCCGGGAGCUGAGACCAUAAGCUCUCUCGGUGCAGGUAACCUGAUGGCCAUUUGUGAGGGCUGCAUUCCUUCCAGGCCUCAUUGCAAAUGGACAAACAGCUUUCCUUGUGUCCCUGUCACCUAGCUGCUGUCACCCCAGUGCUGCCCGCAGCCUGUGCUAGCUCUGUCUGGGACUGGGGCAAGCUUCUUCAGCUUCAGAUUUCCCUGCCUGUUGCUCGGGGUUGUUGGGAGGCUCAAAUGAGAGACGGGGUGACAGGGGGUGGGAGGGGGGGGGGGUGGACUGUAAACUUGAAAUCUCUUUAUGUAAAUAGAGUCGCUGCUUUUCAAAGGUCUGGUUAGGACCCUGUGGCCCUUCAGUUCAAGAUGGUGAAUGUCCAGGGUUGUUUGCAAAAGGGUGUGCUUGGGGGAUAUGGGGAUUUGCCUUUGGGUGUUGUGCAUAUAGGAGCAGGUAUAGAAGUACAUCUUAAAGUGGAGGGGUUGUUCAUUUUUCCGUGAAACAUGGGAACACUGAGUCUUUGGGAUCAGGGGCUGCGGUGAAUAUGAAGAUUUCCUUCUGCGGGAGAACGCAGACAGCCAAGUUGGUGAGGGCAGAAGGAGGCACUUCCCGGCUUGGGGUGCACAGUGGGUGGGUAAGAAGCAUGGCUGAAGGGAUGAUUCAGCCUGUCCCUUUGGGUAGAUGUCCCCCACCAAAGGCUGAUGUUAGACGUUCAGGAGCAGAGAGGGUGAACGCUGGUAUAAGCUUCCCAGAACCGAUCAUUUCAUUGUUUGCAACUAUUUUUGUGAGUGGAAAGGAGAGGGAUUUUAGAGGAUGCAUGUGAUAAUUCUUUCAGGAAAAGCUAGUCCUGUCCUCGAGAGUUCCUCAUUCUGGAAGAAUUGCUAGAAAAUCCUGAAUUGGUGGCGGAGGGCAGCGGGGAGGGGGCUCCAAGUGAGAGCAAGUGACGGGCCCUGGCCGUGGGCUCCUCCAGAAGAGGAGCAGCUGGGGAGGGGCUGGUGUCUCUGAAAAGCGCUUCUAGAAACAUGCACAAGACCCUGCAGCAUGCACAGAUCUGAGAUGGUACAGAGGGAGAGUGUGAGCGUCCAGGAGGAAGAAAAAAACGGUUUUAAGAUGAAUGAGGGGGGUUGGGGAGUGGGCUGGUUCCAGAGAGAAACCGUGAAAGGAGGGAAAGUCAGAUUUUUUUUUUUUUUGAGGCCCAGCCAGACUUCAGACUUCAGAGAGCCUGCCUUCAAUGCCUGUGUCAGGACAAAGGAGGCUGCGCCCCCUGGUGUCAGACUGGCAGUCAGCACAGCUCGCUGCGGCAGAAACCUGAGGGUGGGGAAACCAGGGUCCAGCCAGAAAAGUCCACGGGUCGGUCAGAUGCCUUUUCUUCUGUUUGCUAAGGGAGUGGAAGUUGAAAUAGCCUUUGCUUUCUCAGAUCUGGGGUCUAAAUCGAGACUGUUUCAGAGAAGGAGGAUUUUUGUUGUUUUACAUGCAAGUUAAGUCAACAGGACAGUACCUGUUUCAAAGUAGCCUGGUGGGGUAGGAAGUCCACUGACCGGAGAGAAAAGACGUGCAUUUGAGGAAGAGUGUUGGUCUGGGGCGAGUCAUUAAAUAUUUCAGAGCCUCCCUUUCCUUGGCUUAGAACCAAAGGGGUUAGACUAAGAUGGCUUUUAAAGUUUUUCUCAAGCUCUAUCCAAUAUUGGGAUUUAUUCAUCGCCACACUCUUAUUCUCCGAGAACCUCGAAAUUUGGACCUCAUUAUUUUUCUUUUUCUUAUGGGCAUGCAGGUACAAAUGUUUCAGCAUGAGCUCCCUGAUUCUGAGCAAAGGUGUUUGUGUCCCCUUUUCUUUUAAAACGGCAAAAUAUGCCUCUUUUCAGCACGGAAGCCAUCCCUUCACCCUUUAUGGAGCCUCCUGCAAAAAGCAACAGAGUGAGGUCUCCAGUCUCUGCUCUGCUUCUUUUAAAACUAAAGUAGGAAAGUGUCGUGCUGGAAAUUAUGCCACUGAGUGUUACAUGUGGUAGGUGUGAAUAUAUGCUUCAACAGUUCCAGGCAUGAGACCAAAAACGUCCCCAGAAUUAGCAGAGUUUUCAGCUAUGAUCUGGCUAACAUUUCUACGAAUAGGUACAAAGACCAAUUUGAGAGUAUGUUCUCUCUAAGGGGCUGUCUGGUUGGGAUUCCGCUGGAAUUUAAGGCCAUCCCUUGGACGGUCAGGUGAUUUUAGCGCGAUCAGCCCCAGGAAAACUGCGGUAGGGGCUCAGAGUCCGCUCUCCUAAAACCCGCAAGUCGAAUCACUGCGAUGAGCGGUCAUUUGUACCUCACGGCAAUUGACUUCUUCCUUCUACACCGCACUUGAACUCUUAUCUCUGCCUAGUGGCUACCUUUGCUUUUUGCUUUUAAGCCACGGAUCGCAGGCCCGCGGAGAGGAUCACUUGGGUAGUCUUGCGGACGUGGAGGGUGCGCGAGGCCAUUGUCCUGCACCCCGCAGGGUCACUACUCCAUACACUACACGAGAGAACCGGUUCCUCCGUAAGGGAGAGGGGAUCAGGAGGAAGAGAAGCAGUACAACCGGAUGAGCCAUGGCAAGGGUUGGGGGCCAGAGACUCGGAGCACGGUGCUUCUCUGAAGUGAACAGCUGCAUUGUGGGCCGCGUCGACCUCCAAAGUUCAUAGGUUGAAGGCCUAGCCGCCGGGACUGCGGGCUACGACUGCAUGUGGACAUAGGGCCUUCAAAGAUGCUCUUAAGUGAAAAGGAGGCCGUUAGGGCAGCUCUAACUGGUGUGACCGGGGAAGUCCUCGUAAGAAGAGGAGAUUAGGACAACAGCCAGGUGCUGUGGGAAGACCACACGAAGACACUCCAAGAAGGCGGCCGCCUGUGGGUGGGCAAGCCAAGGGACGGCGCCUGGAAGAAAGGGACUCUACCGACACCUUGUUCUCAGACUUCUGGCCCCCAGACUUGCGAGGAAAUAAAUUCCUGUCUUCUAUGCCACUCAGUCUAUGGUACUUUGUCACGGUGGCCCUAGCAAAUGACUCUAGGUCGUAACUUGGCGCCCGCCAAUCUUGUGGACCCAUUCAGGGAUGCAGCCCGGAGUCACCGAUGUUUUUAGUGUUUAAGAGAGGUUAAGAAUCUUUUGCUUUUGAAACGUUGGGAGCAGGGUGCAUUUCACGAACACGCAACCGGCGCGGUCACGCGGCACCCCACGCUUGGCCCAGGAAGGGCCAGGUGCUCUGGCUGAAUGUUCUGCUAUGGCCAUGUGGAAAUUCGUGGAUUUGAAGAAGGGCCUGCAUUUUUGUGUUGCAUGGGGCGCAACAAACCACGCGGUUAGUCCUUGUUGACAGCUAACACAAACUUAAAAUACAGUGCUGGUUAAGAGUAUGAGGGCCGAAACAAAAUAGGUCCGAGGCUGGGUGUAGCGUGGGACACUGGUAAGAACUUUGUGUCACCAGUUGGAUACAGAGAAUCCUUCCAGUCUCUGGGGCACCUGGGCGGCUCACUCGGUGACCCUUGAUGUUGUCUCAAGUCAUGAUUCAUGGGAUCGAGCCCCAUGUCGGGCUCUGUGCCGACAAUGUGGAGCCUUCGUGGGAUUCUCUCUCUCCCUCUCUCUCUGCCCUUCCCCCCCCACUCAUGUGCUCUCUUUCUCUCUAAAAUAAAUAAAUAUUAGGGGGCACCUGGGCAGCUCAGUCGGUUAAGCAUCUGACUUUGGCUCAGGUCAUGAUCUCACGGUUUGUGAGUUCGAGCCCCACGUAGGGCUCUGUGCUGACAGCUCUGCUCUCUGCCCCUCCCCCCGAUUGUGCUCUGUCUCUCUCUCUCUCUGUCUCUCAAAAAUAAAUAAAUAUUUUAAAAAAUUUUAAUAAAUGACCCCAAAAAAGUCCUCCCAUUUCUCUGAGAACCCCUGGGGAAGAAUUUAUGGGACCCAGAGAUUUUCUGGGGGUGGGAGGAAAGGCACAGAUAUUCUGCAGGUUUGAUUCCCUGGGAUUCUGCAUGAGCUAGUGUGGCCCUAAGAUCCCGCCCCUCCCUUCCCCCCCCCCCCCCCCCCCCCCCCCCCCCCCCGCCCCAGGGAUGGGCAGUGAGAACUUCACAAUAGGAAUACUUUGAGGAAAGGCCCAACAUAAGGAGCUAAAUGUUUGGUUUGGGGGAGGGGGCUGGGUUGGGCCCUGCGUACGGCUGAUGCUGGAAGCUUUUCCAGAGUCAUCCAUCCAGGCACUGGAGUUGGGCUUUGGAAACCGCGUAUGCUUGUUCCCCAGUAUGAACAGUAGGACUCUGAGGGGCAGUGCAGCCCAAUGUCAAGGCAGCAUGGAGACACGGCGGUGAGAGAGGAACAGCGGUGAGAGAGGACUGGCUAGACUCCAGCUUCCUGCCUGUGGUGUGUGACCAGGAUUCUCGCUUUGGAGCCAGUCAGCCCCAGGAUUCUUGAGGGGUUCUCUGUUGGGCCGAGCUGCAAGAGAGAGCCCUGGCCUGUUUUAAGGCAGACCCGAGCACUUAAUUGGAAGUAAAUAAUAGACUUCCAUUUCAUGGUGUGUGCCAUAGUAGUUGAUUCUAAUUUGGAAGGGGCAAGCUGUGCCCCUGAUGAAAGGAAUGUAGUCAUCAGGGCUAGAGUCAUGGGGAUAUUAUGGGGAUAUUACGGGGAGAUCCUGUGUUUAAGGAUAUGCACUGAUUUAUAGAAGCUCACUGAAAAUAUUAUAGUGGAAUGUUUGGUCAGGAGGUCUGCUUUUUUGGUUCUAUUUCUGCCCAGUAUUGGAGAACGGGUGAGUGUAAAUUUUAAAAGAAGUAAUUUCUUAUGCACAUUUGUGCAAACUCCCUAAGGGGAAUCAGUGAAAGACUGUUUGAGACACUGGAUUUCUUGGAAGAAAGUUGCUACAUAAAUUAGUGGAGAGCUUUUUUUUUUUUCCAUGGCAGGUUUGCAGGACCCUCUAAAGAACCCUCCCAUCAUGGAAGGGAGAAAAUGAAACUCUCUACCAGCGUCUAUUAGGGAAGCUAAAUUUCUCUCUUUCCGGCAAGUUUCCCAAACCUCGUGACUCUCAUUUCCAGACCAAAGAGUAAGGUUUUAUUUUUAUUAUUCUUUAUACUUGGCAUAUGGAGGAGAGUCCCACAAUGGGGCAGGCCAGACUUAGGUACCCCAGGGGGAAUUCAGACACACCUACACAGUGCACCCCAAGCCAGCUCCUCCUUUCUCCUGACAGACAGUGCCCUCCUUCUCCCUGAAGUGUAUGAACAGGACUCCCCCUCAGAGCUGAGCCAGACCCUGGAUUCUCAAGGGCUUGGGUGAGUGGCCCAAUAUUUAAGAUGAUUGAAAUUCUAUGUGUGGUGUUUCUGAUUUAAUUCCUCAAUGACAGUUCCCUUAAACAUGUGGGAAAUAAGAAACCUCACUGAAAAUUUUAAUCUAAAAGACCAUUCGAUUCGGAGAAAUGAAACUACGUCCACAUCAAAGCUUGUGUUUUAAAACAAGUUUUAAAUGAAUGUUGACAACAGCAUUAUUCACAAUGGCCAAAAAGGGGAGACAAUCCGAAUGUCCAUCAACUAAUGAAUGGGUGAACAAAAAUGCGGUACAUUCACACAAUGGAAUACUAUUUGGCAAUAAAAAGGUAUGGAGUAUUGUUACAUGCUACACUGAUGAACCUUAAAACAUGCUAAGUGAAAGAAGCCAGUCACAAAGGCACCCAUAACGUAUGAUUUCAUUUGUGUGAAAUUCCUAGAGUAGACAAAUCUACAGACACGGAAAAUAGAUUAGUGAUUGCCGAGGGCUGGGGGUCAGAGUCCAGGCAUUGAAAGAUGACAGCACAAUAGGACAGGGUUUCUUUGUGAGGCUAGGAAAAUGUUCCACAAUUAAUUCAUCGUGGUGGAGAAUGAACAACUCCGAAGAGGUAUCAAAAAACACUGAAUUCUGGGGCGCCUGGGUGGCUCACUCAGUUAAGCGUCUGACUUCGACUCAGGUCAUGAUCUCACAGUUCGUGGGUUGAGCGUCGUGUCGGGCUCUGAGCUGACAGCUCAGAGCCUGGAGCCUGCUUCGGAUUCUCAGUCUCCCUCUUUCUGCCCCUCCCUUGCUCGUGCUCUCUCUCUCUCUCUCUCUCUCUCUCUCAAAAAUAAACAUUAAAAAGAAAAACACUGAAUUUUGCAUUUUGAAUGGAUGAAUUCCAUCAUGUGCAAAUUAUGUCUCAAUAAAAUUGUUAAAAUUGUUUAAAAGAAAUGAUACUUUUAAAAAGACCAUUGGUUUAUGUCUCUUUUUCUGAAGCUGAUUCCCUUGGGAUGCAGGUAUCCAGGCUGAAAACCGGAUUUUAUGAGCUGAGGAAGAUGACAAUGUGAAAAAUGGCGAUUUUCCCUUAGGCAGAGAUCUGAUUUGCAGAUCCCUUCGUACCCACAAUGCUUGUGGCUACAGCUGCUUUGAACUUUGCUGAAAGGAUUUUUCUUAGCUUGAAAUCAUUAAAAUAGGUUUAAACGGCACUGAAGUGGCUUUAUUGUUGUUAUCUAUUCCUUUCCCUCCCUUUAAGUAAUAGCACCCCAAUAUCCUCUUAAGGAACCACCCACCUCGUUUUCAGUUCAUGUGGUUUGAAUCUUGCUGACCCUACGCCUUAGGCUCUAUGAGUCAGGCCUGACCAAUCAGCACAUUUCAUCCAGUGGUGUGUCAGAGCUGGCUCAUCCCAGCUUAUUCGAACCAACUGGUAAAUUUUUAGGAACUUUGUGAGCCAGUUGCUAAAUAUGAUCACUAUUAAAAUUUUAAGUACAUAAAUUUAUAAUUAAAUACAUUAUACUUAAAAUGGAGUUAUUAGGCACUCAAAACUCAUCGCCUCCUAAUUAUUUGAAUACAUUCUACUAUUACCUGUUCUCCUGAGGUUACUUACAUCUAUCAGAUCUGCAUGAUUUAAGUGCACCCCUGUGUGUCUCUUUUCAACCCCAUGUUCAGUGACUUCCUGUCAGCAGCUUGGCCUCGGCCAUGGGCAGUGUUUAUACAUCACAACUAUGUAAAUGCUGUAUAUCAGGGCUUCUUCUUUCCUGUCAAGGAGAGUGUCAAUCAUCUGCCAGCUGUAGUGGCUUAAAUAGUACCCCCCCCCCAAAAAAAAGAGGUUUGUGUCCAAACCGGGGUAGUUGUGAAUAUAACUUUGUUUGGGAAAGGGAUCUUUGCAACUGUGUUUAAGAUAAGCGUCUUGAGCUGAGAGCAUCCUGGAUUAUCACACGUGUCCUUAUAAGAAGAGGCAGGGGAGUUCAACACACACACAGAUAAUACAAGGAGGCAAUGAGACCAGAGAGAUUGACUGAAGGAGUGCAGCCAUAAGCCAAGGGAUGCCUGCAGCUGCUAGAAUCUGGAAGAGGCAUGAAACAGAAUCUCCCCUGGAACCUCUAGAGGGAGCACAGCCUUGCUGACACCUUGACUUUGGAGGGUUAGCCUCCAGAAAUAUGCAAGAAUAAAUUUCUGUUUUGAAGCCACCCAGUCUGUGAUAAUUUGUGAUGGCAGCCACAGAAAACUAGCCUACUGGCACCCACUGGGGUACUAUUGUACGACCAGGGAUGGGCAUGUUACCCCAGUUAGGACAAUGGGAGGUCAGCUCCGUGAAAGAAACCAUCUCCUUCUACUAGGGGUUGCCAAAUGGUGCCAUUUUUGCCACCAUAUUUGCCUAAGAAUGAAAACAGCACAGAAAGUUGUCAAGUAGACAUCUGGAGAGAGAGAGAGAGAGAGAGAGAGAGAGAGAGAAAGAUCCCAGAACGAUGUUGUUUGAGAAGCUGGACCUAGUCUACUACUGGAAUUCUCUAUUGCAUGAAUGCAUUAAUUUCUUUUCUUUUUAAACCAAGUUCCUGACCGAUAUACACAUGUGAAUUUUAGGGAACAUUUGAAAGUGUUCUUUUGCACGGACAGGGUUGUAAAUACACACGGUUGCUAUCAUUUGAUCAGUUAUUACUGAAAUCAGGCAUAACUAACAAAGACAAUCAGGGAAACAUAUAACAAACAGUGAACAAUCUGAGAUCUACCUGAAUUCGAUCGUGUUCAUUUGUUCCACAAACACUUACUGAGCCCAACCAUGUUUAAAGUGUUCUACUCAGGGCACAUAUCCAUACAUUUAACAGCUUACAACUUAUUUGCCAGUAAGGAGUUUAGGACAGCUCACAUUACUGAGGUCACCAGCAGUAUUAAUUUUUCAUGACAUAGCCCAUAUUUUUCUGGACAGUACUAAAUUCAUAUAAUUUCCUUAUUUUUCCUAAAGAGAAUUUGUUUAAUGUACAAUGAAAAUAUUCUAACUUCUUUACGAGAUUCCAUUUAAGCACAUUCACAAAUCAUAAAAAAAAAAAAAAACUUUUGGCAAAUUGAAUAUUUUAAGUUGGGAAUUAUUCUUCUGGUGAUUUUCAAUGACACUGUGCCUUUGCUAAUUUUGUACUUCUCCAGAAUUUUUAUUCUCCAUUAUCUUAGUAAUUUGUUAGCAUGGAUAGGCACAUUUCUGAACGGAGGGUGUCACAGGAAAUCCCAGAGAUAGACAUACUGUAUUGAAUAUUUUUAAAAUAAAAGGAAAAUCUUUUUACACCCAGAAUGUCUACCUUUAUUUUUUUUAGUUCAGGAGAUUUAAAAUUAAUUCUGCCCCCAUAAUUCUAUUUUUUUCUCAUACCUUUCAAAUAGCUUUUUUUUUUUUUAUGAGCACAUUCUUCAUGUUGGAUGAAUUCCCAGCCAACUUUUUAAAUCUAAUUAAACUCACCUAAGUUUAACUCAGAUAGCAUUUGCGGUUAAUUUCUUAAUGGUUGAUAAACUGGAAACCCAUCUUUGGAACUUAUUAAAAAAAAAAAAAAGAGGUUCCUGAAGGUUGCUUAUUGCUAAAAGAGUCCGUUGCUAAUAAUGAUGUCACAAACAUCAAUAAACUAAUGCCCAUUUGUCUGGACUUAAAAUAGAAUAAACUUUCAAAUGCAAAUAUCCAGGGGCAUCUGGGUGGCUCAGACUUCAGACUUCAGCUCAGUUCAUGAUCUCACAGUUUGUGGGUUGGAGCCCCAUGUUGGGCUCAGUGCUGACAGCUCGGAGCCUGGAGACUACUUUGUAUUCUAUGUCUCCCUCUUUCUUUGCCCCUCCCCAGCUCACACUGUCUCUCUCUCUCUCUCUCUCUCUCUCUUUCUCUCUCUCAAAAAUAAGCAAACAUUAAAAAAAUGCAAAUAUCCAAAUAUUAUAUUAUUCUUUUACACUUUAUAUUUGCUUAUAGCUUUGCUUGUCAAAGAAAGAAUUGUUCUGAGUAUUUUCAAGGCAAAAGUAACAACAACAACAAACAAAUCCAUAAACAAACACAUAAGGAACAAGCAAGCAAACACACACACAAGCACACACACGUGAGGCAUAGGGAAUAAGAGAUUUCACUAGGACAUACAGCAGACAUUAAUGAAGCAACAAUAAUUCAAGUCUACUCUCCUUCCAGUCUGGAACAAUCCUGUUUGCUAUGAAAAAGUAGCCACCAAAAUCUUUUGGGAGAUUAGCAUCAUUAUCAAUACGGAUUUCAAGGAAAACGUGAACAACAUAAAAACUUAGCUUUCAGAUUCCCCAUUUUUAUAGCCCCAUAAAACCUAAAAUAAAAAUUGGGAGCACAUCCAGUUUAUCAAAGAAAGGUCAACAACAGACUCAAAAUAAAAGUUUAGGAAGUCACUUUCUAUUAACAAAAGCAGCUUUUAAAUAUUACUUUUUCCUGAUAAUUCUGGCUGAGAAGAACCCAAGCAAGUUAGCUUUUAUCCCUAAGGCCAAAAAGAAACUCACCACCAAAGUGGAAAUACAAGGCACCGGAAAAAAUCAGUGAUUUGUUCCCUGAUGGCAACUUUAUGCCAGAGACACAAGAGUUUCUUUACACGAACUUGUUUUCUUCAUGUGGAAAACACUGAUAGAAAUCUAGGUGAAUGGAUAUAAUUAAGUAGUUGUGUGGCUCCAACUCUAAAAUGCUUUUUUUUUUUUUUUUUUCUUUCCAUCAAACACCUCAGCGCUUGCCCAGUAACGAGACGAGAGGAACAGCCUUCUAAGAGUGAAGCCCUCAAGACGUUUCCAAGCUGCCUGGACAAAGGCUUGGAAUGACUACAAUGGUGAACCAUCCUGCCUUGGACCUGAAUCUAGAUCGAUGACCUAAUACAUCUUUUCCAACUCUGACUGCCAUGGUUUUAUGAGCAUCAAGGACUGGGCGUCUGCCAUUGUCAACAAGUAAGGCCUCUCCAGAGCUUGAACAUCCACAGAAACCCAAGUACCCCCCUCCCUCCCGAAAAGCACAGAUCGCCCAGUCUCCCAGGGCUCUGCGUGCUGCCUCUAGCUUUCACGUGUGACACAGAAACUCCUCUUUGGCAGGAUUAAUUCUUAAAUAAAGGAAGUGUGUCCGUUACUCUCCCCUGUUAUCUUGGUUUAAGAACUCUGAGUCAGAGCAGAUCUCUGAGAAACUAAUUAAGCUUAGCUUAAGGGCCUCUCUUUUUCAGGGGCCCUUCCAAAGGGCUGUACCUAAUUUUGUAUUUGUAAUUUUGCAUUCUUUUUAAAGUUAUUUCUUUACUUAUUUUUGAGAGAGAGCUCAAGUGGGGGAGGGGCAGAGAGAGAGAGAGAGAGAGAGAGAGAGAAUCCCAAGCAGGUUCCGCGAUGCCAGUGCAGGCCUGGACUUGGGGCUGGAACCCACCAACCUCAAGAUCAGGACCUGAGCGGAAGUCAGAGGCUUAACCAACUGCACCACUCAGGCACCCUGGUCACUUUGCAUUCUUUUUAAUAAAAAGUCCCCUUCAUUGUAUAAACUAUAGCCCUCCCGCCCCAUCCCAGGCGAU
RNAcentral lists this long non-coding RNA (44529 nucleotides) under Lynx pardinus (Iberian lynx). The record is from RNAcentral. Lineage: Eukaryota; Metazoa; Chordata; Mammalia; Carnivora; Felidae.